RNAcentral lists this long non-coding RNA (56703 nucleotides) under Malus domestica (apple). RNAcentral describes it as "long non-coding RNA (MDOM_LNC011918)". Lineage: Eukaryota; Viridiplantae; Streptophyta; Magnoliopsida; Rosales; Rosaceae. The record is from RNAcentral.
GAAUUGAUUUUGCUUCACACUAUCUUGAUUAAGAUAGUGUAAAGCUUUUGAGAAUUUGUAGUUGUCCUCCAUUGAUGAAGCUUUGUUGAAUUUCCACACUGUUGAGCAAGAGAUUGUGAUGCAAGCCACACCUUGUAUUAGUCGAAGGUUUGGAUGAACCAUAUAAAUUGAAUUUGCUUCGAAGGUCUAAGAAUUGUAGUUGCCCUCCAUUGAUGAAGCUUUUGUUGGCACCAUAAAUUGGUUUUGCUUCACACUGUCAUGAUCAAGAGUGUGUGAAGCUUUUGAGAAUUGUGGUUGAACUCCUUUGGUGAAGCUUUUUUUGGCACCAUAAAUUAGUUUUGCUUCACACUGUCUUGAUCAAGAGUGUGUGAAGCUUUUGAGAAUUGUGGUUGCCCUUCAUUGAUGGAGCUCUUGUUGGCACCAUAAAUUGGUUUUGUUUCACACUGUCUUGAUCAAGAGUGUGUGAAGCUUUUGAGAAUUGUGGUUGAACUCCUUUGAUGAAGCUCUUGUUGGCACCAUAAAUUGGUUUUGCUUCACACUGUCUUGAUCAAGAGUGUGUGAAGUUUUUGAAAAUUGUGGUUACCCUCCAUUGAUGAAGCUCUUGCUGUUGGCACCAUAAAUUGGUUUUGCUUCACACUGUCUUGAUCAAGAGUGUGUGAAGCUUUUGAGAAUUGUGGUUGCCCUCUAUUGAUGAAGCUUUUGUUGUCACCAUAAAUUGGUUUUGCUUCACACUGUCUUGAUCAAGAGUGUGUGAAGUUUUUAAGACUUGUGGUUGAACUCCUUUGAUGAAGCUCUUGUUGGCACCAUAAAUUAGUUUUGCUUCACACUAUCUUGAUCAAGAGUGUGUGAAGCUUUUGAGAAUUGUGGUUGCCCUCUAUUGAUGAAACUCUUGUUGGCACCACAAAAGCUUGACCCACGAGGCUUAUGUAUUGAUGAAGCUCUUGAUGCAUAAAAUCAGUGAGGACUUUGGUACAACAUAAAGUGUUAAGUUUGUGACAUUCGCUAGAUUGCUCCGGUCACUAGUAUGGAUAAGUAUGUAAAUGGAUAGAGAUAGGGAAGCAAACACAAGAUGUACGUGGUUCACCCAAAUUGGCUACGUCCACGGAGUAGAGGAGUUCUCAUUAAUUGGGAAGGGUUUACACAAGUACAUAGGUUCAAGCUCUCCUUUAAUGAGUACUAGUGAAUGAUUUAGUACAAAUGACAUUAGGGAAUAUUGUGAGAGAAUGAUCUCUAUUUAUAGAAGAUAGUUUCUAAUUUCAUUCUGAUAUUGACACGUGUCGUGUUGUGAUUGGCUUCUGAUGUUGACACAUGUCGCGCUAUGAUUGGCUUCUGAUGUCGACAUGUGUCGCGCUGUGAUUGGCCUCCUGGUUGGAGAGAAACUCUUCUGGGUCCUUGAUGGUAUAACGUUGACCGGUACUCAGUAGUUUCGGGAUUGGUCAAGUAUGGUACAAAUAAAAACAAUACCAAACGAAGCAUAAAACCUAUUAACAAGAAGUUGAGGAAUCUAAUUUCCUCAUGUCUUAAUUAGCAUCUUAACACUAAUUAGCUCGCAAAGAUUUGACUAAUAUACAUAACAAUAAUCAAUCUAACCGAUGAAGAAGCCAUGAAGCCACUCUUCAAUGUUGACCUUCUCCUCCACGUCAAAUUCUCAAUGUUAACAAUAGGUCUUAGUUCAAUUGCGAGAAUAUUCAUGGCUGAAGCGACCGGCAUACUCUCGUAGUGACUCGUCCGGCUUCUGGCAAAUAGUGUACAAGUAAUCUGCAGAAUGCAAGUGAUCGAUCUGGAAGAUGUGUUGAGAGACAAACAGUUUCCUUAAUUCCUCAAAUGAGUCUACUGUCUCAGGUGGAAUACGGCAAUACCAGUUUAGAGCUCCGCCAGAAAUAGUGGAGGGGAAGAGAAGACAUCGCUCUUCGUCGGUGUGCAUUCGAUAUGCCAUGGUGGACUCAAAGAGGUUAAAGUGUUCAAUUAGGUCCUCCCUUCCUGUAUAGAGUUGUAAACCAAGCUUUUGUUUUGUCUUCGCUUGAAGGGGCGUGUCGAUGAUCCUUCUUAUGAGAAGGCCAAGCCUGGGUUGGUUCCAGUCAGGUAUCUCGGCCUAACGUUUGGCAUUCAACUUGUUUACUUCCUCAAGGAGCUGUAGGGCAAUGGGGUCCUGAGUGGAGUCAUGUGUCACUGGAAUUUUCUUUCGUAAGUCUUCAUCGCCUCUUGGAAGUAGGAAAGUUUAAGCAAUGACGUGUGGUUUUUUCAUGGACUCGCUGUACUGACUUUUAGGGCAAGUAUGUCGGAAUACCUCAGAGUCCCCCAUACCUUCAUGUUCCUCUGGGACCAGUCAUUCCUUCCCUAGAUUGGCAGUUGGCCUGGGUCGUGGGAGGGGAUCGAGUCUUUCAGAAACCCUUGGGUCAUUGAUUUUCGAGCAUAUGUGGAGGGGAUUUUUUCGACGUUGCUUUAGGAAGUCUCGGCAGUCACGAUAAAUGGUUUUCGAUCCUUCCAACCUUUCUGCAAGGAGGUGUCUUCCUCCACUUUUUCUACUUCGGGUCGAAGCAUCUGGGUUGAAAGAAGUCUCAUGUUGAUCAAUGUUUUGAUGAUUAGCUCGCUCCUCAUCAGGGAUACCCAUGUCGAAUGGAGGUGACCCUCCGUGUUGGGGGGCACCCAGAUGAUAGUUGAUGUCCAUAGGGGUAACGAGCUUCCGUGUUUGAGUACGCUUAGUUUCGUGGAGUGUCUUAAAGAGCUUCUCAUACUGCUCCUGGAGGACCUCAUUCUUCAUUUCUAUCUUGUUGUUCUAAGCUUUUAGCUCAUCGACUUUAGCUUGAAAAGCAACCAUCUUUCCUUCAUUCUUUCGUUUCUUCGCACUAGGUGCAAGAGGGGUGUCAUUCUAUGUGCUGUGGCUUCCUUCGCUCCCCAUGUUGGAAAGGGAUGCCUGGUCAAAAUAGAGUGUACGAAUGGUGGAAACCAGCUUGGCAAAGCUGAAGAGAGUGGGAAUAAGUGUCGUUCCCACAGACAGCGCCAAAUGUUGAUACACAAAAUCAGCGAGGACUUUGGUACAACAAAAAGUGUUAAGUUUGUGACAUUCGCUAGAUUGCUCCGAUCAUUAGUGUGGAUAAGUAAGUAAAUGGAUAGGGACAGGGAAGCAAACACAAGAUGUACGUGGUUCACCCAGAUUGGCUACGUCCACGGAGUAGAGGAGUUCUCAUUAAUUGUGAAAGGUUUACACAAGUACAUAGGUUCAAGCUCUCCUUUAGUGAGUACUAGUGAAUGAUUUGGUACAAAUGACAUUAGGAAAUAUUGUGAGAGAAUGAUCUCUAUUUAUAGAAGAGAGUUUCUAGUUUCAUUCUGACUUUGACACGUGUCGUGUUGUGAUUGGCUUCUGAUGUUGACACGUAUCGCGCUAUGAUUGGCUUCUGAUGUCGACACGUGUCGCACUGUGAUUGGCCUCCUGGUUGGAGGAAAACUCUUCUGGGUCAUUGACGGUAUAAUGUUGACUGGUGCUCAGUAGUUUCGGGAUUGGUCAAGUAUGGUACAAACACAAAAUGUAUUGAUGCUAGGUGAAUAAGUCGCAACACAAAAUGAAAACGGACCAAUGCCAAAUUAAAAUGUAUCGACCAAAUUUAUUUAUUGGUACUAGAUAAAGUACGGACCCAAUUUAUUUACCCAUUCUAUACAUGCCACUUCAAGUAAUGCUUAGAAAGUACAUGCCUACUAACACACAAUUAACUUUAUAAAUUAAAUAUGAAAAUAAAUGUACCAAUCAACAAUAUUAAUAAAAUCGCUUUGAAAAAAAUGUAUAAAGUUAAAUUGAAUAUAGAAAUAAACGUACCAAUCAACAAUAUGAGUAAAAUUGCUUUAAAAAAAUAAUAUAUAUAUAUAUAUAUAUAAUCAAACGAUUGUGGUGGCACUAGUGGCGGUUGUGGUGGCAGUUGUGACGAUUGUGGUGGCGGUGCAGUGGUGGUGGUGGUGGCAGUGGCGGUGAUGUAAGGUUAGUGUUUAUAGUGGUAAGUGGUGGCAAUCAUUUUAUUCUCCAAGGAUUAAAUGUGUGUAGAAGGAUAAAAUAUGUUAUUUUAAAAAACUAAUGAAGGUAUUACAAGAAUUGAAAAUUUUCAUUAAAUGCUCAAUUCCUUUUAAAAACAACCUAUAUGCUUCUUUUAAAAAUUGUUGUAUGGAGACUAUUGUUUUUAAAAUAAACAGAAUAUUUUAUUUUUACCAAACACUUUUUACUGCUUAACUAUAAAUGAAACAAAUUUCGAUAAAAAAAAAACAACACCAAACGAAGCAUAAAACCUAUUAACAAGAAGUGGAGGAGUCUAAUUUCCUCAUGUCUUAAUUAGCAUCUUAACACUAAUUAGCUCGCAAAUAUUUGACUAAUAUACAUAACAAUAAUCAAUCUAACCGAUAAAGAAGCCAUGAAGCCACUCUUCAAUGUUGACCUUCUCAUCCACGUCAAAUUCUCGAUGUUAACAAUAGGCCUUAGUUCAACAAUGAGCAUAUAUUAUUCCGUUAUACUUUCAAAACCAAUAUGAACUCAAACAUUCGGCUAAAAUACACCUCAUAUUCGAACAAUAUAUUUUGUUAAUUGUGAAAGGUGAUUUGGAAGAUAAUUGUGAUACUUGAUGCCAUGCGCGCUCUCGAUUUCUAACUACUCAUGCCGCCAUUGUCAUUGGGUAUGACCGGUGACAACUUGGUGGAAACGUAGCAAUUCGACACGAUUAUUCUCCAAACAUAUGAUUGUUGAGAGCCUGAAUCCUAUGUAAGGGUGGGCAACGGUUAUGCCAGACGGGUAACCGCGGUUAUUUACUUAUAACUGUUUAUGCUCAUACUCGCAUAACCGUUUACCCAUUUGGUAAUUGCCUAAAUUGUUAUACUCAUACCUAUAACCGUUUAUAAACGGUUAACCAUACCAAUAAUCGCAUACCCAUUUAACCGUAACCGUUUAAUACCCGUUUACUCAUUUUUAACUUGUUUAUCUUUUUCCCAUUUUUAACUUGUUUAUCUUUUUUUUUUACCAUUACCCAUUUUUCACCCAUCUACAUGUUUUUUAACAAAUUGAAAUUUUAAAAAAAAUUUGUCAUAAUUUUUUUUGACAAUUAAACACCGUUAUAGGGGUACAUUCAUUAUACAUUUCCUUAUUUUAAUUUUUUAAGUCCUUAUACCGUUUCAAUAAUUGAAAUAAUAGUUUACAGACGAUAUUUUUAAGGGGUGUGAUAUCCACACACCCCAUUUUACUUCUCACACACCUUUUUAAUUUUCGACCGUCGGAUCAGAUGAAUUGAAGAAGAUCAACGGACAAUAAUUAUUAAAGGUGUGUGAGAAGUAAAAUAUGGUGUGUGGAUAGCACACCCCUAUUUUUAACUGUUACCAAUGAAGGUAAUAUAAUAUUUGCUAAGUAUUCUUGGGUUAUGAAAACUGUUUAGAAGACAGUAUUUUUGAGUUAUUUAACCCAUAGUGCAAAGUAUUAACAUAAUAUAUAUAAUGAGCUACAUUAUUUUAUAAUUAGCUAUAUAAACCAUGCACUAUAGUCAAUAGCAUCAGAGGUGCAAUUUGGGCUGAGCCAACCCGAACCCGCCCAUGUCUAACCUGACUUUAAACUCGAAUAAGCGAAUUUUGUUGUUGUUAUAACCCGCCUGAACCCAACCCGAUUUCAACCCGUUCAUUGAUUGGGUUGGAUUGGGUUGAUCAUUUGUCCAUCCCAACCCAAUCCAAUUAACCAAACCCUAUUAGGUUGAGCUGUGCAACAUACUUCUCAAUAACCUUUGCACCUUUGCACCUUUGCACCUUUGCACCUUUGCACUUUCAUGAGAACCUACUGAUAUGAUAUACAAUUUGACUUGAAAGGAAUCAUAUUAAGUUUAUUUUGCUUUUCACAUCACAUCCUGUAGAACAACUUCCUUUAUUAAAUUAAUAUUGCAACUAUUCGACCUCUCUUUGAGAUCUGCUUCACAGUUUGAGUUGUGAUUGUUUCUUAUGCUGAUUCAGACGAAGUAGGCUAUUGAGCAAGUAAAUUUGAGGGAAAGUGAUUUUAAGGUCAGUUGUUUGCUAAUACAAAUAGGUUGACAUCAUUGUUGAAAAACAUUAAACACUACUUGAAAAAGUUAGGCAACCCAAACUCAACCCAAGUAAAUCCAAACCCGAUUAAACCCGAGCCCGACUAAACCCGAUUAAAACCCAAUCCGAACCCGAACCCGAAUUGUAAAAGUUGGGUUAGGAUUUGGUUGAUUUUCCAACUCGCCCGAGUUGCACCCCUAAAUAGCAUUGAUCUAAGUUUUGUCCUAUAGAGAACAUGGUUUGUGUUAAUUUUACAUAUAUAAAAUAAAUGGGUAAACGGUUACCUGUUUAUAACCGUUAUUUAUACCUAUAACCGUUUAUUUAUCUAAAUAGUUACCUAUAACCAUAACCGUAAAGUUUAAAUAAGUGGGUAACUGCGAUUACAAGGUAUUUUACCCAUAUUCCCAUGUCAGAAAGUAAAGCAUUGCCGUAUAAUUUAAAUUAUCUUAGAUCAGUUGAUUUUAGACCGAAUGUUCACAUUCUAAAAUUUCUAAUAACGUCUGCGUUGGUUGUGAUAUGAGUUCUGCACCUCCGAUAUUGUAAAGCAUUAAAUAAAGGCCCAAUUACAAAUUCAUAAUUUUGGCCCAUGGUUUUUGGGCCCAGAGUAAGGUUGCGUAAUUUCCAGGGUCAAGUUUUAAAUUUGAUGCUUAAAUAGCAAGCCCAACCUUUUGCAAUCUCUUACAUGGGCAUUUUCCAGUCUUUACUUUUCAUUUUCAUUUUUACUUUGGAAUUCUAAUCCUGUAUAACAGUACAUGUGGAAAAUCUAUAUCUUUUUUUCUUUUUCUGCAUAUUCCUGUUUAGUUUUGUUAUUUGAUUUUCUAAUACUUUAUUUCAUUCAAAGGUUAGAAAUGAGCAAGAUUUGUGUGUGGGAGAAAAAAGUGUGUGCGACAAUCAUUUCUCAUUUCAUUUUUUAUCGAGGAGAUAAGAGAUUCAAACUUAAAAUCUCUUCUAACAUUGAGAAGUAUCACUAUUGUACUAACGACUAGUUGGUAAUCUUGCACAUGUGUUCAAAACCAAAAAAUUUCUAUUUUGUAUAAUGAGAUGCAAAAUUUAGAUUGCAACGAAGUUCUUCUUUUUAUGCAUGUGAGAGUGAAAUUGCAAUAAAUCGAACAACUUCAAUUACAUAUAUAAGAGUUUCUUUUCUUGUUUGUUAGAAAAUUUUGUGCAGAACGGUUUCAUAUUACAUAUGUAUCUUUUUACUUUUUAUCACGUAUCUUGUCAGGUGACUUCGCAAUGAGAGAUAGAAACACGUCAAGAUACAACGAUUGUUCCAAGAAAGUUUUCUAGUGGUAUGAGAAAGUUAACGAAAAGGGUUGGGACUUGGGAGGCGUUACGUCGUUAUCUGUAACGGUCUUAACAUGGAGCCAAGAUGGGAUGGUAGGGUUUUCGUGUGCAUGAAGGAUGCAGAUGACCUGAUCUGCCUUUCCCUUUGUGCUUGUGACCUCCUGCAAUUUCCAUAUCGACAAAACUUUUGCCCCUUGAUGGAAAUAUCCAACUUUGUGGGGGCCACCAGUCCAAUCCAUGCAUGGAUCCGGCCCGUUCAAUUUUCAUCGCCAGAAUUCAGUUGAUCACCUUGAUAUCAUGACCUAAUUCAAUCAUCAUUUGGAAGACUUUUUUGUCAAAUAAAACGAAAUAAUUGAUUAAUAUGAUUACAAGAUUAAUUCUUCAUUUUCAACAAUAUUGUAGGAUUUAUUUACUAGAGUGAUAGAAGAUUUGAACUUGAAUCCAGACCGCUUUAAAAACUCGUAAAAAAAUAGUAUCAAUGACCAUUUCCUCCUGUUUUGGAGGCAAAUUUGGUCCACUGUUUUUGUGCAUGAAUAAUGGUUGCCUUUAGUAUUAUUUGCUACUUUUUCUUCAGUAAAACAAUAAUACUGUCACUUUCUAUGAUGCCCAUUUCACACUAGCAUGCCCUGGAAGAACUAAAUAUCUUUUGUCAACAAAAAUCUUCCAUAGGUUGUUCCAAUCCAAGCUAGCCUUGGGUUGUCAUGAUGAUUUUGGUUUUAAUACAAAGUAAAUGGUAUAUAUCAACCGACCAACUGUAUAAGUUACUGUCAGUCGUUAAUAUAUGAACGUUGGUUCAUAUAAAUCUCAUAGGUUCCAUUUGGUGUACGAAAUGAAAGGUUGUGAGUAACAGUUAUAUCCUUAAAGAAAAUAUUGACAAAUUAUGUAAUGUACCCAUCCUGCAGUCCUCAUGUUGGCCAUAACCCUACCCAUGUGCAAAUACAAGUGAACAUAUAUCUCUUUUAAUGUAAUCAAAAUUAAAUUGAAACUUAAAACUUAAAUAAGAUUAGGGUUUUGAAUAUUCUAACGUGCAUGGGUUUGGUGACAUAGCAGGUUUAUUCGGUCCCUCGUACACUAGCAAAAGAGCUUGAAAUUAAUUAAUAUAAUUUUAAUUAAAUUAAAUAAUAAUGAUUAAGCUGAGUAAGAAGGAAGAAAGAUCUCCUAAUUAAUCAUCUCCCAAUUGGAUGCAUGACAGUAGCAUUUGGCCCACGUUCCGGAGUAGGCUCCAUCCUCCAUAACAUGCACAUGAGCUGCCAACCAUUUGGUCUCUCUGGGACCGCAUCAUAUUCAUCUGCAGUUAUUUGGAUUCUCAUACGAUCGACACAGAGAGAGAGAGAGAGAGAGAGAGAGAGAGAGAGAGAGAGAGAGGUUUGCAUUGUGAUGAGUGUGAACCCAUGAGACGUUGCAUAGUAUUAUCUUCUGCUACUAUCCCUCCCCAUUGGUUCUGCAAACCCAACACCAACCAAGAUAAGCGUUAGGCUAGUCGGUCGCCUUACCGCUUCUGGUGACGGUAUACUGUUGAUGUAUGUAUAAAUAAUGAACGACUGAGUUUAGUAUUCAUCUAUCUCUUUUGAAAUACCAAACGUACAAUAUGUGACAUUUGUGUAACAAAAGCCGUCUCCUUAUUCUUAUACUUCCAACACCUAGAGUAGUACGUAGCAGUGGUAGUCUUAUCGCACUUACUGACCUUUUUGUUUCAAUUGAUUCUCUCGAUUGAUAAGUGGCCGGUGUUUGGUCCUAAAUAGAAAUUAGGUUAAAUUAUAAACAUAAUCUUUUUCACAAAUGUAUGUUUUACAAUAAGGUAGAAUAAUUAUGUUGACAAAAUUGAAGGUUUCAAUGUACGAUAGAUUAAUUGGAAUGUAGAUGAUUCUCAGUUGUUGAGGCAUUCACUUUAUUUGGUGCGGAUGUAUAAUUGAUGGACAGUCGUUCAUGCACGUGUGUUUGUAUGAAGAUAUGUAAAGCAACCCUCUAGAUAUGAAUAGACAUAAGGUCUUUGUAAGUUGGGCUACUACUAUAUAGCGAAUUAAUUUUAUGUUGAAACCUCAGCUUUAUUCAUGAUAUCAAAGUAGGGUGUUUCAUGUGUGAAGCCCAACGGCUACACGUGCUUCACAUCACUCAUUUUAUUUUGUCCAUGUGCUAAGCUUAAAAAUUCGUCACGUGAUGAGACGUGUUGGAGUAUUAAUCCUACAUCGAAAAGAAGGAAACUUGCAUUGACAAAUAAGAUACGCUAAUACCCAUAUUAUCAAUUAAUUUUAUAAAUUUUAUAGUAAAACCCAAACAUUUUUCAUAAUUUUCUUUGGAGUUAACUAAAGCCAGAAGUUUGUGGUGUUGUUAACUCACUACCUAGGAGUGGACAUUUUAACCGGUAAAUCGGGUCGAGAAAACCAAAAGAAUCGGGUUUGACAUUGUCACAUUCUUGUUGCAUUUUUUCCCAAAUACCGAAUGUAAUGUGCCAUUCUUGUUACGGACAAGGAUUGUCUGCCCUCCUAGUUGUGGUGCCCUUCUAUGCCCUCCUAUUUUGUGCGGUCACGGUUAAGCCACGUCAACAUUUUAUAUUAAUUUUUUAAUGAGAUAAUAAGACAAAAAACAAUAAAAAUAUAAAAUAUUAACGUGGCUUAACCGUGACCGCACAAAAUAGGAGGGCAUGGAAGGGCACCACAACUAGGAGGGCACCUUGUCCUUCUUGUUACAAAAGCCUCUUUAUUCUUAUCCAAUAGAAGUAGUACGUAGUCUUAUCUCACCUAAUGGUCUUUUCUGUCAAUUGAUUCUCUCAGUUUAUAUAUAAGCUUUGUUUGUUUCAAAAUACAAAUUAGCUAAAUCAUAAACGUAAUGUGUUUCUGUUUGGAUCUUACUGUACACCAUUGAUCUGUUUAAUUGAGGCUGUUGAAUUUUAAUAUUUUUCUUAAAUAUUACUAUUGCUGAUUCGAAUUCAAUAGAGAAAACCAGGCAUUAUCCAUUGCUGGUUGUUUGUUGGAGAUCCAUUUGUUGAUAAAGACUUACUCAAGUGAUGGCAAGGAUUUUCCAACUUGGCUUGAGUAAAGAAAAGAUAAAAGAAGGUACCAUCCAUUUGUGAUAUUAUCCCUUUGGCCAAUUUGAUAAUUUAUUCUUUUUGGCCAAUUUGAUAGUAUUUCCUAAUAGAAUGCUCAGUGUUCAUUAAGAUAAAGAUGGCCAUCAAAAGGCCUUUGGUAGCCACGGUAUGGACUUUACAACACGUUCAAGCGUAUUAGUCCUAUAAAUACAUAAAACCGUGUAAUGAGAAGGCAACCUUCAACUUAACAUACAAAUAUGCCUUGCACAAAUCUCGCUCUAGGCGAACACUUCUCACACUCAGAGAACUAACUAACUCACAUUUUGAGAAAUCACUAACUCUCCACUUUCCUAACUACUUAAAGCUCGAUUGAUUAUCUAUCCAAGUCUCAGCUGACGAGGAGUCCUUGAUUCUUUAAUUGAACGAGGUCACUUUACUAGCUUUCCAACCAAAUUAAGUGUUUUAUGCUUGGUUACUUCUGGUACAUUUUAGAGUUCGGUAUUCUGACGGUUGAACAACAUUUACCAUCAAGACAUUUAUCUCUUUCGAGUACGAGUAUCCUUACAGUUUAACUCCGAACUGAUCAGAGCACUUAUAUUUUCACAAAUAUAGUCGAGGCGGCCGAACCUGGUGCAAAAGAUCAUGAACUUCACAGUGACUAACAACCUUUUUGACAUCACCACCACAUUCAUUCUACUAACCGACCGAGUUCGAUGGCAAGUUAGCACGACCGCAUUCAUCAUAAUGACGUAGUUAGCUUUUUGUUAUUCAGUCUACGUGUAAGUAAACUUGAUAGUUUUUAAGGUCAACAAUUUCACAAAUUGUGCUUUACAUUCUAACAAGUUUUACGAUCUCAACUUAUACUAGACGAAGGCGGACGAUCGAUUGUUAGUUGUUGCUGCGAGUUUCAUUGUGAUUGCGGAUGUAUAAUUGACAUACAAUCGUAACGUGUGUUUGUGGGCAAAGCAACUCUCUAGACAUCAAAAGAUAAGGUCUUUAGUUUUAUUCAGAAUUUGAGGUGUCUAUAUAAGUCACAAAAACCAAGAAACCUCUCGAACUCGUACCUUGGAUGCAGUGGAUGGGUUCCUAUCACAUGGUUGUCGCCAAAGGCAACAGAAGAGUACUCGCUAUAAUACUAAAUUAACAUGGUCCACUAGACGGUGGCUUUCCACCCUUUUUGUCGAUCGUGAGAGUAUGAUUUGGCCAAAUGCACUGUUAUUCUCCCAAAGUCGAGGUCAAUUUAGUAAACUAAUAUAUAGAAGUUUUUAAAAGUCACUAGUCUAGUAGCGGGUAGAGGCCUGUCGCUUAGGGGGGCCUAGGUAAUUUUUUAUUUUUAAUUAAUUUUUUAUAUAAUAUAUAGAUAAAUAUCUACUUAUAUUUUUUUUAAAAUAUAACUGUAUUGAGAUACAUUAAUUAGAAAAUGGAACUAUAUAUAAAUUAUAAAGUAUUAGAAUUGAAAACAUGGGGAAUAAACAUAUAAUGAGUGUUCAUCUCAAUAUUUAACAAGUUUUUUACAAUUUAUUGAAAAAAUAAAAUGUAAAAUGAAAGUUAUCUAUUUUCUAUCUAAAUGAGAGUUACGAUCUAGACGAGCGCCUACGCAGAUCUAGACGCUCUUUCUUAGUUUUCAAACGUCUAGUGAUCAAUCAAAGCGAUGACUACCUGCUUAGCGCCUAGGCAGGCUUAAGCGAAGCUAGGCGGUAAUUUUUAAAAGAAUGUGAUAUAUAGUUAGUAAUGAUAGCUACAAGGAAGAAAGAAACAACCCCACUGUACGAAACCAAAAACACUAAGCUACGAUGUGUUCUUAUCAUCUUAAGUUGUCCUACGAAUAAGUUAUGAAACCUAAUAUUAUGUUGUUGACCUAACCAAGUAGCUAGUAGCUAGUAUCGUUCACAUCAUCACUCCUAAAGUAACUUGAGGUAAAUUAGUUGCAAGAUAGCUAGAAUACAGAUCCGUCAAGGGACAUUUUUGUAAGACACAUUUUUAUUGAAAGCGCUACAAAUUUUUAUCGAAAAUUCAAGUACAUCUUGUUGGAGCAUAACGUGGUAUUGUUUGCAUACAUCAUGUAAAACUUUUACAUGUUAGGAUUUAACAAAGCAAGUAUUUUACGUUUUCAUCUCUCACACUUCAUUGUGAUCGAAACUCAAAAGAAAGAUGAUAAUAAGGUCAACUAGUACCCUAAUGAAUAUGAUUUUUAAUUUUCCGUGUAUUGCAUUACGGUUAAAAUGCAAGAUUUUUCCAAUAUUAAACUAUCAUAAGUAGUGUGUGAUGUCAGAGAUAUUACGAGACGAAGAACUUGCUGGUUCUAGUAUGAAAAUUGUUUUUGAAAUUUUGAUUUAAAAUGAUUCAGUCUUCAUAGGUGUCGGCGGGUUGGAUUGGUUUUUAGCUUAAAAGACCAUUUCUGUCCAUUAAUGUUGGUAGUCAGUUGAAUCAAUUAUUUUUUCUACGUGUUUAAUCUUAAACAAAAUUAAAAAAACGGUUUGUUUGGGGAAGGCUGUUAUUUAUUUUUAUUAAUUUUGAAAAAGUCGCGGUAAAAUCCCGGACAACUGUCAGCAGCUGGAGUCACUGUCAGUCGCGCUUGCACGCCGCCGUAGCUUAUUAAACUCCGGUCACUCACUUCCGCUCGUCUUCCGCCGGAAACGCCCUUUUUUUUUUGCUCGAUCAAUAAAAAUUAAAGUUAAAAAAAAAAGAAAAGAAGAAGAACGUUUCUGAAUUACCAAUCAGCUCUUCAACUUCCAUUGGCCACAGCAGUACAGAGCACUGUGUCUCUCUACUUUCUCUCUCUACACACUCUCUCGUAUACUUUCUCUCUCUAUACAGAGAGAAACACAGCACGAGAGCUCUCUGUUGGUAUUUUUUACGGACGUACACGCGGUUGUGUAGGCGUAGAUUCCUUUGCCCCCACUGCGUCAUAUAAUUUUAUCAAUAAAUAAAUGCCAAAAAGCUCUCUCUCUCCCCGCUGAAACCGCAUUUAUACACAGAGAGAGGGCCUAUUCCUAACGUUUUCCUCAUUUUUAUGUGCUGCUUUGGUUUGCCUAUAUUCACUCCUCCUCCGGGGAUCUCAGCCGUCCUCCGCCGCUCUUGCGAGAAUUCACCGGCUCAGCUGUCACCGGCAAGUUUCUCUCUUUGCUUUGGUAUUUAUUUCUGCUGAAAUUUUAAGCUGUUUUUUGUUUGUAAAGUUGGAAACUUUGCUGUGAUGGAAUUGAUGGGUUUUGAGUAUGUUGAUUUUGUGCGGAUUUUGAGGGCAUAAGUGGGUAAUUUGUGGAUUUUGGGCAGAUGGGCAGAUGGGCAGCUGUUGUUUUAGCCCAGUGCAUACGUGGUCUACAGUGUACUGCUUUUGGAUUUCUGGGGAACCUAUAGAGAAUAAUUGCCAGAAAGAUAUGGUCUUGUAGUGUAAACUUAUUGAUUUCUGGGUGAAAUCGAAGGUUUCAUAUCUGGGUUUGUUUUAAUUCGUUGAAUUGGGGAUUUAUAUCUCGUGGAAUUGGACUAUUGGCGUUAUAAAAUUCUGGAGUUUUUGUGGAAUUUGGAUUUAUGGAGGCUUUUGGAGGCAGAGCUCGGAAUUUCUAUGGUACGAUGGUGCCGGAUUUGAAGGGGGCUGGGAAAAAGAGUUUGGAAUGGGAUUUGAAUGAUUGGAAAUGGGAUGGUGAUCUUUUUACCGCUAGUCCUUUGAAUGCUGUACCAUCUGAUUGUAGGAGCAGGCAGUUGUUUCCGCUUGGGCUGCCGGAAACUCCCUCCACUGCUGGUUUGUCCAACAGUUCUUCUUCUGGUUCGGACGGUAUCUGUCCAGGGAAUGAGAAAGGUAAAAGAGAGCUGGAGAAAAGAAGAAGGGCUAGUUUUGUAGAAAAUGAAGGGCUAACUGAUGAAGUUGGGUCUCUUAAUCUCAAGCUUGGCGGGCAAGCUUACCCAAUCAUGGAAGGAGAGGUACAACAUGGGAAGAAGACGAAGAUAGUUGGGACUACUUUAAACCGAGCAGUUUGUCAGGUGGAGGACUGUAAGGCUGAUCUUAGCAAUGCCAAGGAUUACCACCGACGACAUAAGGUCUGUGAUAUGCAUUCUAAGGCAACUAAAGCGGUGGUGGGAAAUGUUUUGCAGCGGUUCUGUCAGCAGUGUAGCAGGUUAGUUCAAUUCUAUGGUUGUCCUUGUAUGGUGAGAAAUAUUUCAAAUUUUCUUCAGUUAAGUUCUACGUCGUUUAUUCGGUGCUUUCUUAUAGACAUUGUUUCUAGAAGAUGAAAUACAGAGUUUGAUUUGUAAGUUUUAAAAAAAUUAUUUGUUGCUCUCAUGAUUUGGGUCCAUAGUUGUUCAUCACUGUGUUUGGUAUAGUCGAAUUUUGAAGAACUUUUUUGUUGAAUUUGGAAUGUGGUUAUACUUAUGGGCAGGUUUCAUGGCCUUCAAGAGUUUGAUGAAGGAAAGAGAAGUUGUCGUAGACGUUUGGCAGGCCACAAUAGGAGGAGAAGAAAAACACAUCCUGAUACUGUAGUUAAUGGAGGCUCAUUGAAUGAUGAAAGAGGAAGCAGUUAUCUAUUGAUUAGUUUGCUGAGAAUACUCUCCAACAUGCACUGUAAAUCUUUGUGUUAUUGCACAUUCAAUUUUUGGCUGCUUUGCCUGACAUUAAAUUGAUAUGCUAAGUGUAUGUUAAGUGGUUACCGGAUUGUGUGUUGAUUGCCAUAGACUGAUGUCAAAGUUCUUGUGGUCUUUUGCUCUUAGGUUUUGUCAUUAUUUGAUUGAGGCUUGUAGCAAAAUGAUUAUGUCAAUUAACAUUUAAUAACUCCACUCAUAAAUUUUUAUUUGUAAACAUACAACAUAUUACUUGAUGAGUCCUUAACUGCUUAAGGUGCUCUAUUUUUGUGUAUAAAUGACAAAGUGCUAGUUUCUCUGAAUUUAAUUUGAUGAAAAUUUGAAUAUUGAUGCUUACGCAUGAAAAGUUUUCAGUUUUUCAGAGGUUGAUUUGAUAGAAAGUUAGAAUUUUGUGCAGACCUUCAUGUCGAAAAAUAUUUCAAUUUUUAUAAUCCAGAUUACACCUUGUGUGCUUGAAUUUCAUCCCUUGAACCCUUGUUUUUUGCACUUUCUUUCUCUGAUUGUUGGACUGUCCAUAUUUCACAUUCUAGGAUGCAUGAAGGAAGGGCCUAUUAAAGGGAAUUCUAAUUAGGAAUUGUUAUUUAGGAAAUUAUGUCUCAGUGAUCAUGUUAUUAUAAUAUUUAUUUGAUUAUGUUUGUGUUUGUUUUUCUUCUCAUAAGUGUCUUACUCAACUCCACUUUUGAUGCCUAAAAUGCAGCUAAUAGUUCAGAUCAAACAAAGGAUCAGGAUUUGCUAUCUCAUCUUUUGAAGAAUCUAGCCAAUCUUUCUGGUACAGUUGAUGGAAGAAACAUGUCUGCAUUGCUUACGGCAUCUCAAGGUUUAAUAAAUGGCGGGGCAUCAAUUCAGACUGCACAAAAGGUCCCAGAUACAGUUUCCAACGGCUGUGAACCAAGUAAGCCUUCUGUUUCAGCCUCUAAAAUGGAUGAUUAUAUUAAUGGUGAGGACCCUUCAAGACCUAUACGACAGUGUUCUACGGUACCUGCAUCAGAUUUCAGGAGAAUAUCUUCAGUUGAUGCAGAUCAUGGAGGUCUACAAGUUGUUUCAGGUCUAAAUGCCACGAAGCCAUUUCCUUCAAGAGACAGUGUUCCAUCCACAUCAGUUGCACCAGAAGCUACAAUGGGGAGGAUGCAGUUAAAUGGCAUUGAUUUAAAUAAUACAUAUGACGAUUCCCAGGACUAUUUGGACAACCUAGGGAAUUCGCAUGCCCCUGUAAAUUCAGGGACAGUGGCUCAUGGUUUUCCCUUUUGGAUGCGUCAGGAUUCGCAAAAGUCUAGCCCACCUCAGACAAGUGGGACUUCAUGCUCAACUUCAUCAAGUUCUAGUGGAGAUGCUCAGGUAUAUUCUUGUUGUACUUGCAUCUCGUUCCUCGUUAUUGCUUGGUAUAUUAAUGCUUGUAUAUGCCAUAACCUGUCCUUUUCUGUUGGAUAAAAGAAUAGCUUUGUUCUCACUUUAAUUUGGCAUUUAGGUGACAAUGCUUUGCAUUCGACUUGUCCGUUUGUCUAGCCAAUUGAUUGAAAAAACAUGAAGUACUCGGCAUACCUAAUAAAUACUUCUGUUGUGACGUAAGAGUCAAGAUGGAUUCUCUUCUUUUGUAUAGUGCUUUGUAUGUAUAAAUGUGUGCGUAUGCUUCUGCUUGAUAAGGUUUAUAGAGUUGUAGUUAAACUACAGGAGGUUGCAGGCUAUAUCAGUUAGAGUUGAGUAUUUUUUAAAUAUUUUUUAUUAUGAAGGCCAGUGUGUAAAAUGUUACUGCACUGUUACGUCUCUUAACCACUCUUUUUCUGCCGUGUUUCAGAGUCGCACAGACCGUAUUGUUUUUAAACUCUUUGGAAAAGAUCCAAAUGAUCUUCCAUUUGUUCUACGAGCACAGGUAAUAUUUGGUGCCUUGAUUUAAUUCUUCACAAUGUAACUUGUGUUUCCUUGCACAUACAACAAUUUUAUGAAAUAUUUUGAAUAUCCAGAUUCUCAACUGGUUGUCCCACAGUCCUACUGACAUUGAAAGCUACAUAAGGCCGGGAUGUAUCAUUUUGACAGUUUACCUCCGUCUAGAAAAAUCCACGUGGGAGGAGGUAUGUUUCUGUGCUGAUGCCAAAAUGUUGAUUGCUGACCUUGUAUCAGGGAGAUCUCUUUUCUUGUCCUUAAUUGUUAUGUUUGCCUGCAGCUCUGCUGUAAUCUGGGAUCCAUUAUAAAACAACUUUUACAUGCUGCCAAUGAUCCUUUUUGGACAACAGGAUGGGUGUAUACUAGGGUGCAACAUUCUGUAGCAUUUACGUACAAUGGUUUGUUCUCUCUCUCUCUCUCUCUCUCUCUCUCUCUCUCUCUCUCUCUCUCUCUCUCUCUCUCUUAAUUAUUCAUUCAUAUAUUUUCUAGCUCAUUUAGUGAUUUACCAAUAGUUGUGUUAUGAAAGAAAAGACAUUUUAAAUAGUUAUGUCUGUACUGCAGGUCAAGUUGUCUUAGACACACCCUUACCUCUGAAAAGCCAUAAAAAUUGCAAGAUAUCAUGCAUCAAACCAAUUGCAGUUUCUUUAUCCGAAAGAGCUGAAUUUGUAGUAAAGGGGUUUAAUCUUUCUCGUGCCACCACAAGGUAUCCUUAUCUUUCAUUCAAGCUUCAUUAUGUAGACCACUCCAGUGUCAUAUGUUAUUUCUGAAUUAGUAACUAUCAGGAUAACUGGGAAGGAGGAAAGUACUAAGUCCUAGCUUGUGACAGGUUGCUCUGUGCUCUGGAAGGGAAGUAUCUAGUCCAAGAAACUUGUUAUGACUUGAUGGAUGGUGCUGAUACAACCUUUGCGAAUGAUCAGCUACAGUGCCUCAGAUUCUCCUGCUCUAUACCCAAUGUUACUGGCCGAGGACUCAUUGAGGUGCUGUUCCAUUCUUAAUAUAUGUUUUAUAUUUCCUUUGAAGUGUGCUUAUCAUUACUUAUUUAUUUAUUUUUAUUUCAGGUUGAAGACCAUGGUCUCAGCGGCUGCUUCUUUCCAUUUAUAGUUGCCGAGCAGGAAGUAUGUUCAGAGAUUUGUACCCUGGAGGGUGCGAUUGAGGUGGCUGAGACUGCAGAUAACAUCCAGACAGAACCUGAAAAGUUGGAAGCCAAGAACCAAGCGUUGGACUUUGUACAUGAAUUGGGUUGGCUCCUUCACAGAUGUCACACUAAAUUUAGACUUGGUCACGGGGAUCCCAACUUAGAACUAUUUUCUUUUAGACGGUUCAGGUUGCUUAUGGAGUUUUCCAUGGACCGUGAUUGGUGUGCUGUAGUGAAGAAACUCCUGGGCAUUCUGCUUGAGGGUACCGUUGACACUGGAGAACAUCCUUCUAUUGAGCUUGCGUUAUUGGAUAUGAGCCUCCUCCACGGAGCCGUGCAAAGAAAGUGCAGGCCUAUGGUGGAACUCUUGUUAAGAUUUGUCCUAGACAAAGGGUGGCAACAAGUUGACGGGGACGGCAGCAACUUCUUAUUUAAACCCGAUGCAGUUGGGCCCAUGGGAUUGACUCCUCUUCAUGUUGCAGCCAGUACUGAUGGAUGUGAGAAUAUAUUGGAUGCCUUAACUGAUGAUCCUGGAAAGGUAAUUUCUCAUUGUCUUCUUUGACAGUUUUCUUUCUAAUUGGAUGUAAAAAUCAGAACAGGUCUGCAUCAUUAUCCAUUUUUCUCCGUACGUGUUUGACCGUUUGCUCAUACAAAUGACUCAUGUCAGCUCAUUCUGUGUCUCACAUGAAUGUUGAUAUUUCAAAUCGUUGUAUUUUCAAGCAUACAAAUGUUGAUAUCUUUGCUUCUUUAGGUGGGAAUUGAAGCGUGGAAAAAUGCUCGAGACAGUACAGGAUUGACACCAAAUGAUUAUGCAUGCCUGCGAGGCCGCUACACCUAUGUCCAAAUUGUCCAGCGGAAAAUCAACAAGAAACAUGAAAGCGGGCACGUGGUGCUUGAUAUCCCUGGCGUUAUCUUAGACAGCAGCAGCAAGCAGAAACAAUUAGAUGGGCAUAAGUCCUCAAAAGUCUCCAUCUUGGAGACCGAAAGGAUCGAUAUGAAAGCAAUGCAGGCACAUUGCAAGCAAUGUGAAAUGAAACUAGCAUAUGGAAACACAAGGUCGUUUGUGUACAGGCCGGCAAUGCUGUCAAUGGUAGCCAUUGCUGCUGUCUGUGUUUGCGUGGCCUUGCUCUUCAAAAGCUCGCCUGAAGUCCUUUAUGUCUUCCAGCCCUUCAGGUGGGAACUCUUGGAGUAUGGACCGAGCUAAGGCAGUUUACGCGUCUCAAAUUUUAGUUACUCUGGCUUUAGGCCGUUUGUGUUAAUCAUAUGUAUAAACGGAUAACUCAAAUUUUAGUUACUCUGGCUUUAGGCUGUUUCUGUUGAUCAUAUGUAUAAACCGAUAACUCUAUAGGGAACAUAAUGUACCAGUUUUCGUAUCCGUUAAGAUUUCCACGAGAGGUGUUGCACUGUAUGUAUUAAUGAUAGUUCAUAUAAAGCGUGUAUAGGGAAAGAUUGACGUAAAUAGUACUAUUGACCAAUUGUUGAGGCAAUAGAUUGCUGCAUUACUUCCAAAAACACAUACAAACAUUGUAUUCGAUGAGGCGGAAGAUUCGGACUUGAAAAUUCUUUCGCUUUUAAGUCAGCUUUCUUAAACAGAAGACAAUAUUUAGUAGGGCGGCCUGACUAAUAAUUUCUUUCGCUUUUAAGUCAGCUUUCUUAAACAGAAGACAAUAUUUAGUAGGGCAGCCUGACUAAUAAGUAGGUUAGACUACUCUUGCUAAAUUUUAUGCAUUGAGAGUUGUAUUUACGUAAGACUGGAUGGUGACCAAAUACAUAGAAUCACGUUCCUUCAUGAGGGGAUAAGGCUGUCUCACAAAGGUUGGAGCUUUGUGCUUACUUAGAUACAUGAAUCUCGUUCUUUCGUGAGUCAACUUUUCAGGUUAUUCAACUCAAAUGUUAUGAAUAAAAUUGGGCCAAAAUUAGAUCAAACAGUUGUUUUUCUCCAAAUAUUUUUAAUUUGGUCAAAUGCAUGAAUCUCGUUCUUUAGUGAGAUAACUUUUCAUGUUAUUCAACUCAAACGUUAUGAAUAAAAUUGGACCAAAAUUAGAUCAAACAGUUGUUUUUCUCUAAAUAUUUUUAAUUUGGUCAAAUCCAAUCCGAGUCUAAUAUUAACUAGCAAAAAAAAAAGCAGAAAAAUGGAUUUUACAGGCUAAUAAAAUAAUAGGAAAAGGACUCCAGUCACAGAGACACGUUGACUCAUAUUUUGACAUGAAAUUGUUUUCCACUUCAACAAGUCAUAUUCAUGGUCCUUACAUAGUGUACACAAUUAUUACCUUGUUUAAUCUUUUUCAAUUAUUUUGUCGUUUUGAACCUUUUUUCUUUGGUUUAAUUGCCAAUAAUUCAAGCAUUAAAUCUUGAUCUCGAAAUGGAACAAUUUUCCGGUGUACUAAGAUCACGUUCACGUAAAAUUACUGGUUCAUUUAAAUUAUAUUACGUAGAUUUGUUAAUAUUAAGUUUAGGUUAAAUCUCACAAUAAUUAGUAAUAAUAUGACGAGAAUUAAACUUGAAAUAUAUCACUUAUAAUAAAAUAAAAUAUCAUUAGUUUAAAUAUUAAAAUGAUACACCUCGUAACUUGUAACGCUGUUAAUUUCUAAUCGAAAUCAAAAGGAGACGCGUCAUUUGAGGCCACCACCUCUCUCCUCUCACUCUCCCCACUGAAACCGAAUUUACACAGUAAGAGAACCCUUUUCCUAACCUUUUCCUAAUUUUCAUGUGCUGAUUAGCUUUGUCUCGGGGCCUAUAUUCUCUCUGCCUCAACUGCGAUCUCAGCCACUUCUUCGUCAGCUCUCAGUUCUCAGCUCAUCUCCCAACAAUUCACCAACCUGCCGGCAAGUUUCUCUCUCUUUACUCUCUCGCUCUCCUCUUUAUUUCCACAAAAAAAGAUUGGGUCUUUCAGUUCUUUCAGCUCAAGUUUCUUUCCAUGGAGUUGAAAGCAUUGACUAGGAUGUAAUUGUGGGCUUGCAAAUACGGUAUUUUGUACUGACUUGUUGAGAGAAAAACUGGGUAAUUGGUGGAUUUUGGGUUCUGGGCAGCUGUAGCCUGUAGUUUAGCUCCAUUUUUAUGCUGGUGUGCUGUUCUUGGUUUUCUGGGGUUCUUGGAAAGAACAAUUUCCAGAAAUUUCUGGGGCUGUGGUGUUAUUGACUUUUUGUUUUGGGGUGAAAUUUAUAGUUUUAUCUCUGAGCUGUAGUUGUUGUUAUUGUUCAAUUGGGUGUUUGUAUCUGGUGGAGUUUGACUAGGGGGCAUUGUAACAUCUCUGGGUUUUUUGUAUCUUGAUCUAUGGAGUCUGAAUUCGGAGGAAAGGCUUGUAAUUUUCGUGGUGUGAUGGUGCCGAAUUUGAAGGGGGUUGGGAAAAAGAGUUUGGAAUGGGAUUUGAAUGAUUUUAAAUGGGAUGGUGAUCUUUUUACUGCUAGUCCAUUAAAUUCUACACCAUCUGAUGGUAGGAGUAGGCAGUUGUUUCCGGCCAGGCCAGAAACUCCGUCGGAUGCUGGUUUGUCCAACAGUUCUUCUUCUGGUUCGGAUAAUAUCAGUCCGGGGAAUGAGAAAGAUCAAAGAGAAUUGGAGAAACGGAGAAGGGAUUUUUUUGUGGAAAACCGAGAGUUGAAUGAUGAAGCUGCGUCUCUGAAUCUUAAACUUGGCGGGCAAACUUACCCCAUUAUGGAAGAAGAAGUACAAACCGGGAAGAAAACAAAGACAAUUGGGACUACUUCAAACCGUGCAGUUUGUCAGGUGGAGGACUGUAAGGCUGAUCUUAGCAAUGCCAAGGAUUAUCACCGGAGGCAUAAGGUCUGUGCUAUGCAUUCUAAGGCAACUAAAGCGCUGGUUGGAAGUGUUAUGCAGCGGUUCUGUCAACAGUGUAGCAGGUUGGUUCCAUCCUAUUGUUAUUUAUUGUUUGGUUGAAACAUUUCCCCGAUUUUCUUGAAUUAACUUGAAAUACAGAGUUUGGUUGUGUAAAUUUUGUUGUCAUGCGUUUGUUGUGCAUGGCUGUUCAUCAAUCUUCUUACGGUAUGGUUGAGUUCUGCAGAAGGUUUUUUUUGUUGAAUUAAAUGUAACAGGGUUAACACUCGUGGACAGGUUUCAUGCUCUUCAAGAGUUUGAUGAAGGGAAGAGAAGUUGCCGUAGGCGUUUGGCUGGCCAUAAUAGGAGGAGAAGAAAAACACAUCCUGAUACUGCAGUUAAUGGAGGCUCUUUAAACAAUGAAGGCGGAAGCGGUUAUCUAUUGAUUAGCUUGCUGAGAAUACUUUCAAAUAUGCACUGUAAGUACUUGCCUUAUUCAUUGUACACUUCUGUCUUAGUGAAACAUUGUAUCUCAGAUUUAUUUGAAUCCGCAUAUUAUGCCAUUUAUAAAUUGCAGCUAGUAGUUCUGAUCAAACAAAGGAUCAGGAUGUCAUAUCUCAUUUGUUGAGGAGCUUAGCCAAUGUUGCUGGUACGGCUGAUGGAAGAAACAUAUCUACAUUGCUGCAGGGAUCUCAAGGUUUAUUUAACAGUGGGACAUCUGUCCAGACUGCACGAAGGGUUCUAGAUAUGAAUGCUGGUGUUAAUACUGAGGACCCUUUAAGGUCUAAAGGACACUGUUCGAUACUACCUGCAUCAAGAGACAGUUCUGAAUCCAAAUCAGUUACACCGGAAGCUACAAGUAGAAGGUUCCAGUUAAAUGAUUGAUUUAAAUAGUACAUAUGAUGAUUCACAGGACUAUGUAGAGAACCUAGGGAAUUCUCAUGUUCCUGCAAGUCCAGGCACUGCAUCUCUUGGUUUUCCUUCAUGGAUGCAGCGUGAUUCUCAUAAAUCAAGCCCACCUCAGACAAGUGGGAAUUCAGACUUAACUUCUACUCAGUCACCGUCAAGUUCUAGUGGAGAAGCUCAGGUAUAUCCUUGUAAUUGCAUCUAUUCCAUAAUUGCUUGGUAAUAUAAUGCUUAAAAAUGCCUUUGUCGUGGAUGAUGCUCAGCCCACUGUAAUUCGUCUUUUUUUUAAUCUUUUUUUCCAUGAGACCAGGGAUUAAUAUAUCAAUUGUCAUUAAUCAUUAUACGGCGUAUAACUUGUCUUUUGUUUGGAUAGUAGAAUACCUUUGUUCUAUCCUUGAGAGUAGUUAGGCAGUCAUGUAUUGUGUUCUGAACGUGUCUGUGUAUCUUUCCAUGGAUUGUCAAAAUAAUGGCGAGGUUAAGUGCGCUCGCUGCUUGGUUAUGGGAUAUAUGUAAGAAAUGCUUCAAUUGUGACUUAAAGUUGAGAUCAGUUAUCUCUUCCUUCAAACCAAUAUGGCAGUUUACAAGCGCAACCACACACACAAACAUACUUGUUGUGUAUACGUCUUCUUGAUGCUGUUAAUAGAAUUGAGGUUAAAGUUACCUGGUGGUUUCUGCAGUCCUAAUGGAACAUGCAUUAUUUAUGUAAAAGGCCAGUAUGUAGAAUGUAUCUGCAAUUUUACGUUUCUUGACUGCUCUUUUUCUGCCACAUAUCAGAGUCACACAGACCGAAUUAUUUUUAAACUAUUUGGAAAAGACCCUAAUGAACUUCCACUUGCUCUGCGAUCACAGGUACUAUAUUUCCUUUGAUUUUUCUAGUUUUCAAAGUACUUUUCAAAGUAUUUUGGUGUUUCAUUCCACGGACUCCAUGAUUUUUAUAAAUUAUUUGAAUAUCCAGAUCCUCGACUGGUUAUCUCACAGCCCUACCAACAUUGAAAGCUACAUAAGGCCGGGCUGUAUCAUUUUGACAAUUUACCUUCGUCUAGAAAAAUCCACGUGGGAGGAGGUAUUCUCGACUGUGGAUGGCAGAUCCUUGUAUGAGGAAGACUUUUUCUUCAAGUCCUUAAUUUUGACAAUUCACCUCUCCCAGACCCUGAUUAAAGCGGGAGCCUUGUGCACUGGGUACGACCUUUUUUUUUAUAAUUAUUUUUGCUUACAGUUCUGUUGUCAUCUGGGAUCCAGUUUGAAAACACUUCUUGAUGCUGCGGAUGAUCCUUUUUGGAGAACAGGAUGGGUGUAUACAAGGGUGCAAGAUUAUGUAGCAUUUACAUACAAUGGUUUGCCUCUCUCUCUCUCUCUCUCUCUCUCUCUCUCUCUCUCCCCCUCUCAUUUCGUGUGUGCGUACACAUUUGUGUAUUUAGGGUCUAUAGAAGAAUCUUGCUGUUUUAGUUUUCCAUUAUGCUUUAUUGAUUUUGGUCAUGCUUUGUUUUGUUAUUUCUAGUACAUAAUGAGGAUUGACCAAAAACAUUAACCUUAUAUGAGAGAAGCAUUUUGAUUAGUUAUGUCCAUCCUGCAGGUGAAGUUGUGUUAGACACACCCUUGCCUCUUAAAAGCAAUAAAAGUUGCAGGAUAUCAUGCAUCAAACCAAUUGCGAUCUCCUUAUCUGAGAGAGCUGAAUUUAUAGUAAAAGGCUUUAACCUUUCUAGUUCCACCACAAGGUUCUUUCAUCUUUCAUUCAUGCGUCAUUACUUUGUUUUCAAUAUUCCUCUCUAGUUUUAUAGGAUAACAGAAGAAAUACUAAAUUCUAGAUCUUGAGUCUUGACAGGUUACUCUGUGCUCUAGAAGGGAAGUAUCUGGCUCAAGAAACUUGUUAUGACUUGUUGGAUGAUGCGGAUAGCACUGUUGAGGAUGACGAACAACAAUGCCUUAAAUUCUCCUGCUCUAUACCAAAUGUUACUGGGCGAGGAUUCAUUGAGGUGCUGUCAUAUUCCUAAUUGUCCCUUUCCCCCUUCCUCCUCUUGUAAUGUGCAUUUUGAACGAGCCGUAUUUUAUAAGUCCGGAAUUUGUUUAUAAAUCUUCUUAUGAAUACUGAGUAUAGAUUUGUUUCUAGACAGCGCCUUAACUGAAAUCCACGGUUCUCAUUUUAUUGGUCAAAUUUAUGUCAGGUUGAAGAUCAUGGUCUCAGCAGUAGCUUCUUUCCAUUUAUAGUUGCAGAGCAGGAAGUAUGCUCUGAGAUUUGUAUGCUGGAAGAUGUGAUUGAGGUGUCCGAGACUGAUGAUGAUAUCCAAUCUGGACCUGAAAAAGUGGAAGCUAAGAACCAAGCCUUGGACUUUAUACAUGAAUUGGGUUGGCUCCUACAUAGAAGUCGCGUUAAGUUUAGACUGGGUCAAUUGGAUCCCAAUCUAGAUACAUUUCCCUUUAGACGGUUCAGAUUGCUCAUGGAGUUCUCCAUUGACCAUGAUUGGUGUGCUGUGGUGAAGAAACUCUUGGGCAUUCUGUUUGAUGGUACUGUCGACGCUGCAGAGCAUCCUUCCCUUGAGUCUGCACUACUGGAUAUGGGCCUCCUCCACAGAGCUGUGCGAAUCAAUAGCAGACGUAUGGUGGAAUUCUUGUUAAGAUUUGUCCCAGGUUUAACAGGAUCUGAGCAGAAGGAACAAGUUGACAGGGACGGCAACAGUUUCUUGUUUAAACCUGAUGUUGUUGGGCCCAUGGGGUUGACUCCUCUUCAUAUUGCCGCCAGUACUGAUGGCUGUGAGCAAGUAUUGGAUGCCUUAACUGAUGAUCCUGGAAAGGUAAUAUCUCCGUUUUUUGAAUUGCAACAUAAUAUUUUUCUUCUAAUUCUAUGUAGAAAUCACUUUGCGCUGGCUACAACCUCCAUCCCAUCUCCAUACCCAUUUGAACUCUUGCGCCUACAGUUGACCUGUGUCUGUUCUCAUACUGUUUCACACACGUGUUUUGAUGAUUUUAACUCAUUCUAAUUUCCAGCAUGUCAGGUUGCUCACGGAUUUUAGAUCUGUAAUCAUGUCUUCUUUGACUUUGAGCUCUCUCUUUAGCUUUUCCACUGUCUUCUGCCUAAACAAAAUACACUGAUUCCAGUUAUUGAGUUGUAUUUCAAAUUCUCAAUUAACCAAUCCUAGACAAAUUAUGCAGUCUUGUAUUUUCUUUGGCUUGCGAAACAUAUGAAACAUAAAUCACCGUAGAAAAGUUAAAUGCGCCAUUCAAAUUGGUAAAGAAAGCAGCACCCCACAUCUAAAUGCAUGCUAACUCUUUCACAGCUGAAAGCGGCACCCAAAUUCUACAUUCAACUUGAAAUCAAAUAGGACUGCUGUUAAAAUUUUUGACGAUAAAUGAAUUAUGAUUCUUUUCAUCGUUCUAGUUUCAACUUUCAAGCAUGUGUUUAGGACUGCUGUCAUGAAAUUUCUUUAGUGUCAGAUAAUCCAUUCAUCAAGUUGAUAUGGGCGUUUUUUUCUUUAGGUGGGAAUUAAAGCAUGGAAAAACACUCGAGACAGCACAGGAUUGACACCAUAUGAUUAUGCAUGCCUUCGAAGCCGCUACUCCUAUGUCCAUAUAGUCCAGCGGAAAAUCAGCAAUACACUGGAAAGCGGGCAUGUGGUGCUUGACAUCCCUGGCCUCACGUUAGACAGAAAUGGAAAGCAGAAGCAAUCGGAUGCGCAUAAAUCAUCAAGAGUAGCCAGCUUGGAAACUGAAAGGAAUGAUAUAAAAGCAAUCUUACGACACUGCAGGUUAUGUGAACAGAAACCAGCUUAUAGCACCACACGGUCACUUGUAUACAGGCCGGCAAUGCUGUCAUUGGUGGCUGUCGCUGCUGUCUGCGUUUGCGUGGCCUUGCUCUUUAAAAGCAAUCCGGAAGUUGUUUUCGUGUUGGAGCCAUUCCGGUGGGAACACUUGAAGUUUGGUUCAAGCUAAGGUUAUAGUUUACGUGUAUUAAUUUAUAGUGACUCUGGUUAUACAUAGACCAUUUCUUUUCACGUGGAUAGGAGUAUAUUUUCUAUCUGAUUUUUAUAUGUAUAUCUAGGGCCACUCAAGCCAACAAGACUCUUCGCAUUGCAAUGGUCGGAACGUCUAUCGUAUCUGUAUUUGUAUACCUAAGCUUCCAAAAUAAACAUGGGCUGUCAUGGAUUUUGGUCCACCAGGUUUGAUUGUAUUUGUAUUUGUAUAACAGUGUUACAAACUGGAUGACACAUAAUUUCUCUGUUUGAUAUUUCUUUUUUUUUUUUCAAAAUAAACAUUUGGCACGAGGUGAUUCGGUGUUCGAUUAUUAGUGCAUUUACUGUAUAAAUUAAAUUUUAAUUUUAGAAAAUUCAGCAUUUUUGUUGGUUAUAUUGGAGGAAAUCGAACUUUGGUCUACUCUAAUUCUAACUUAUUACCAUACCCUCCUCCAUUAUUUGAGCUCAUAUAAGCAUAAGCACACUAAACAAGGUUAAGUAUAGAAGAAUUUGGGAAUUGAGAAUUAUUGUUUGAGCAUUAUUUCAUGUUUAGUGCAAAUUGAGGUUGAAUUAUUUUCUAAUUUUAUUAGUUUAAUCAUUUGGAUGAAUUUGUUCAUGCUUCCAUAUGAAAUCAUUAUUUUAUUAAAAUAAUUUAUUAAUAGUUCGAGAAAAACUUAAAUGGAGGUGCUCACGUCAUUCAUCACGCAUUCACAUUCACAUUCGUUACACGUUUCUCAUAAAAACAUAAAACUCUUUCAAAUGAAUAGGUUUCACUGAAUUUGGAUAAUAUCCGACUUUACAUAAGUACAAGUAUCAAUGCACAUGAUUCCAACCAGUAAUUAUUAUCUUAUUUGAAUUACUUACCCCGAAUCAGACCUGAAAAAGUGUAAUUUAUUCAAAUUUUAUUUUCUGAAAUUCAAAAAAAUAAAAUAAAAUUUGAGGAUAAGAAAAUAAAGGGUAAAGAGGUCAUUUGCAUGCCCUGCCUCCUAAAAUCCACCUCACUACUCACUACCCCGUCACUGCUCUAACAAUUUUGCAGGCCAAAGCCAUCCAUGGCUUCUUCAAUCUCUCUCUCCUUCUCUUCCUCUCUCCUCCCUCAUCCUCUUCCUUUCAACAAAUACUCCACCGCCACCGCCGCCGCCUCCCAGAAAUCCCAAUACCCCAACUUUAAGCUGCUCCUCCGCGCAUUCGCCAACCCAGCUGUAAGCCGUCGCUCCACUCCAUCUCCGUCUUCCGACACCAGAAAGAGGCACUGGAAGAAAGGUGAAUACCCAGGCGUCUCGGAGACGUCGGCUCCGGCGAAUUACAGAAAAACCCCUGGUCGUUCCACUUCAUCUGAGUCUUCCGACACCAGAAAGAAGCACUGGAAGCGAGGUGAGUUCCCGGGCGUCUCGGAGACGUCGACUCCGGCGAAUCACAGAAAAACCCCUGGUCGUUCCACUUCAUCUGAGUCUUCCGACACCAGAAAGAAGCACUGGAAGCGAGGUGAGUUCCCGGGCGUCUCGGAGACGUCGACUCCGGCGACUUACAGAAAAACCUCCGCUCGUUCCGCUUCAUAUCCGUCUUCCGACAACAGAAAGAAGCACUGGAAGCAAGGGGAGUUCCCGGGGGUCUCGGAGACGUCGAUUCCGGCUAUUUAUAGAAAACCCCCUUUGAAAAAUGUGAAGAAGAAGCUGGACCGGAAGAACAAUGCCAAGGCCUGGGUCAACACCGUCACGGAGGCCCUGUCAGACGCCAUUGACAAGAAGCAGUGGCUCCAAGCUCUUGAGGUUUUUGUCUUAAUCUAAACAAAAAUUAACAAAUUUUUCAUCUUUUUUCUUAUGUGUUUUUAGUUUGGUGAAUGUAAAUUGAUGCAAAAUUUAAAAAAAUGGUAUUUUUAUGCUUACCAAUUUAGUUUCUUGAACCAUGUUCUUGAAAAAUGUGAUCUUUUUAGCUGAAUGAUUUUAGUGGAAUUAUAAUUAAUUGGGUGUUUUUGUUUGGAAAAUGUAUGAUGAAAUUGGGUACUAUUACGUUCAGGUGUUUGACAUGCUUAGGGAACAACCAUUUUAUCAACCGAAAGAAGGGACUUACAUGAAACUCAUUGGUAUGCUUGGAAGGUGCGGCCAACCCAAUCGUGCCCGCCAGCUUUUCGAUACAAUGGUUGAAGAGGGCUGUGAACCAACUCUUGACCUUUACACAGCCUUGCUCGCGGCUUAUUGCCGGAACAAUCUGAUUGACGAGGCAUUUUCUGUUCUUAACCUGAUGAAGACUCUCCCGCAAUGCCAGCCUGACGUUUUUACUUACAGUACCUUGAUAAAGGUUUGCAUUGAUCAUUUGAAGUUUGAUUUAGUUGAGUCCUUGUAUGAGGAAAUGGCUGAGCGGUUGAUAGCUCCGAAUACAGUCACCCAAAACAUAGUGUUGAGUGGAUAUGGUAAGGCCGGGAAGUAUGACCAGAUGGAAAAAGUGUUGUCCGGGAUGCUGGAGGGUACAAGUUGCAAGCCUGAUGUCUGGACAAUGAAUGUUGUCCUUAGUGUGUUUGGAAACAAGGGUCAGAUAGAUAUGAUGGAGAGAUGGUAUGAGAAAUUCCGUGAUUUUGGGAUUGAGCCGGAAACUCGCACUUUGAACAUUCUGAUUGGUGCUUACGGGAAGAAAAGGCUGUAUGAUAAGAUGUCAACUGUGAUGGAGUACAUGCGCAAGCUUCAAUUCCCAUGGACAACCGCAACUUACAACAAUGUGAUAGAGGCUUUCGCGGACGUAGGAGAUGCAAAAAACAUGGAAUACACGUUUGAACAGAUGCGUGCUGAGGGCAUGAAAGCAGACACCAAAACAUUCUGCUGCCUUAUUAAUGGGUAUGCCAAUGCAGGCCUCUUCCAUAAGGUGGUUAGCUGCGUUCAGUUGGCUGGAAAGUUUGAGAUACCUGAGAAUACCACAUUUUACAAUGCGGUGAUAGCUGCAUGUGCAAAGGCAGAGGAUUUAAUGGAGAUGGAAAGAGUUUUCAACCGGAUGAAAGAGAAGCAAUGUCAACCGGAUUCCACAACAUACUCUGUCAUGGUUGAGGCAUAUAGUAAGGAAGGUAUGAACGACAAGAUCUACUACUUGAAGCAGGAGAUUGGUACUGAUGGUAAUCAAAGUGAUCAGAUUAGUGUUGAAGAAAAUCAAAGUGAUCAGAUUAGUGCCGAAGAGAAUCAGAGUGAUCAGAUUAGUGUGGAAGACAAUCAGAGUGAUCAGAUUAGUGAUGAAGGCAAUCAAAGUGAUCAGAGUAGUUUUGAAGAUAAUCAAAGUGAUCAGGCUUUUGGAGCUGAGUCUGGCGGUGUUGUCUAGUUGAGAUCUUUGGAGGCAACAGUAUGCUCCAAAAAUCCCUAAUCUCACAGGGCAAUUCCAUUCCCCGCAGUUCUUCUAAGGCAGCAGCAAACUCUUAUUGUGAAAUUGCCGAUCGAUCAGGUAAUCAAACAUUUCCAUUCUCGGAUGGGUGUUAGCAAUGCUGCUUCCUCCAAUUUUAUGUUUCUGGUGAAGGACUGUAUGGAUUGAUCUGAUAGACUGAUAACCCGGGUGAAACUUUAUGGAAAAUGAUUGUACAUACAGAGUUGAUAAGUGUCUCUCUCCAAACUUGAUGCGAUCUCUAAACUAGCAUGCAAAAUUGUACGACGAUUUGUAAGAGUGUUUAACUGUGUUCAACAGAGGAAUUGCUUUUUGUUAUUGCCUGAAAUGUUUUGAAUGUAACUUCACGUAUAUAUUGUCUGCAGCAGCUGCUGGACAAUCAUAGAAGGUGGUCUGUAAACACGUUGUUUUUGAAAAUUAAUCGCUCUUUUCGGUACAUUUUGUGCUGCUGUUGUUCGAAUGUUUUGGCACUUGAGGCAGACAAUUGAUCUGCAAUUAUCCCAAAAUGUAAGGGUCCAGCUCAACAAAACGCAGGGGUAAUUUGAUCAAAGAUGUAAGUUUUGUUAUAUUGACUUUUGAGUAGCAUUGGUAGUGUAAUAAACAAUAUCAGUAACGUUGAAUAAUAAUAAAUUUUACUUGGAUGCCGGCGUGUGUAGUAAGAAUAUGUCCAAAGUGGUUUGGACAACGACAUGAUGGUGCGUUAACUAAUAUGAUCUUAUCACGUGAUGAGAGAUAAAGGAGAGAUGAAUGUAUUCGUGACCUGGAGGUUAUUCUACACGUAAACUUGUAAAGAUAGGCAAACAGGGUGCUUUUUGGUUGAAACGAAAUGCUGAAUUGUUUACUCUUUCUUGUGUAAGAAGAGAAGACUUGUAUCGUAAUCAGGUACUAAUUGUUGUCUUUUGGUCCCACCUUACCUCACACUAUAAAUAAUGGCAUCUAAACCCGAUUAUUCACAGAGAAGCUUUCACAAAAGCAUAAAACUCUUAUAUUUUGGUUUCACUCGCCUCAAACUAGUCUCCCUCGUUGAAAUAGCUAACCUAGUUAGGAACUGUACACAAGUUUCUCUCGUAUCGAAGAAAGUCAAAGAAGUUUUUAGCUCACAAAAGCACAUAACCCCCUAUAUAUUCCAUUUGAAUCACCAUUUACAAAAUUUGUACUAACUUUCCAGUCGAAGAUAGGAUAGUUUCGACAAGUAUUGAACGGCUAAGAUAACUUUAUUUAUUACAUGAAUGGCUAAGAUUAAAAACAAGGGCACGUAGACGAAUACAAACAUCUUCAAUGAGAGGAUCCACCAUUUCUACCAUUGGAAAUUUAAUUUCCUUACAGAAUAGGCGAAAAGUGAAGCGAAAACAAUCGGGAAAGCAAUGAGAACAAUCGCCACGAGGAAUAAACGAUCGUGAUGGAAGCCAUAGUAGUCUUGAAGGAAGGAAGCAACUGUUUUCUGCUCCCCAAAAAUCAAAAUCUCUUUGUUCAUGUCUCCAUAUUGUGAACUGAGGAGGGCAUUUAGGGACCAUGAUGUAGGACAAAUCCAAUAGAACCAAAUCCACCACUUGGGAAUUUUCUGCAUAAAAUAUAUAGAACAUGGUCCGCUAGGCUCACAGUAAACCGUCAUAUUAAGGGUUUAUUUGGCACUGCUUCUUUAGAAAGAACUUUUGCUUAUAAAUUAUAAGCGCUUUUUCUGUAAGUUGUUUAAUAGAGUUAUGUUGCAAAAAAAGCAGUUGGGAGGGCUUCGCAUACUAAAAGCUCUUAAAGUUUUACUACAUAGUCUUUUGGCUUUUCUAGAAGCAGUCUCAAACAGGGCUAAAGACUAAAGAGAGAGUUAGAUUUAGUUACCGGCCCGAGCACAAGGAAGCCGGAAAAAAGAUUCAAUAUGGUGUAGAUUGCCGUUGCGAAAAUGGAAGCUACUUGCAGGCUUGUGCUAAAAGAAGCUAUCAGCAUCCCAAGGUAUACAAAUUAGAGAAAUGUAGAGAAUGUUGCAUGGAAGUACCAGAAAACCUUAGUAGCUGACCAAUAGUACCCUAUUGUAGGGUAUGUAAUAAUGACAUACAGAAUUGCUUGAACCACUUUGUAAGUUAUUUCAAUGGCCACCUACAACAACAUUCAAAAUUUCGACAUGUUAAAAACCUUUCCACUACAAGCUACGUUAUAGUACCAGUUAAAAUGUACGAACCUGUGCAAACGAAUGAGCGUUUGAUGAGUACAUCCCAGCAAAUCUUUCCCGGUACAGAACUGCGCGCUCAGUAGCCACGUAAGGCAGAACCGUCGAGCAAUUGGUUGUGCCCAAAAAUAUUACAGCAAUGUACAGUAACCCAAGCACGUUGAACAAAUCAUGCUCAUUGUUUCUUGAGGAACAAGAAAAACACAGGAUUUAGCGUUGUUGAGCAAAAAUUGUACAUAAUAUGUAAACAAAUAAUUCUCUCGACAUAAUUUCACCCUCGUUCAUUUUUCGAAGAGGGUUUUAUUAGUUUGAGUUUGAUUCAUUCUAGGUUACGCGCCUAUUAAUUACAACCUUUCUUUUGGGAAAGGAAUACCCUUUGAUUCUAAUAUGAAUAAAUCGUAAUUUGAGGAUUUGGGUGUUUAUUUGAUUUUGUGACUGUAUCUAGGUAGAGCCCUAGAUUGCCUACGUACCCUCGUUGAGGGAUCAAAUCACUCGUAGUUCCUUAUGUGUUUUGUUGGGGUUUGACGCCUUGUGCAGUUUCAGCUCAUGCAGAUGAGGAUUUUAAGCCGUUGGAGCUUUAAUAAAUUUGAUAUGGUUUUAUGCCAUUCUGAAAUUUGAUACGGCUUCGUGCCAGUUAACAUAGCUUCGUGCCACUUGAGAUUUUGUUGCGGCUUCAUGCCAUUUGAUAUUUGACUUUUUCUUCGGCUUUACGGCUUCGUGCCAUUGAAUUGGCUUUGAGCCAUUUGAGGCAGCUUUGUCCCAUUUAAAGUGGUUUUAUGCCGCUUAAACGUUGAGUAAAAUUAACAGGUUUAUUUCUGAUAAACCCACUAAUAUUUUGGCAUUUGACUCUGGCUUGGUACCAUUUCUUACUCCAUGUUUAAUUUUACUUUUCCUUUUUCGUUUGCCCUUUCUUCUGACAAAUUUGUAGAGAAUCAUGCUUGGAAUAAAAAAAAAAUUUCCUCUGUUCCUUCAUGGGAUUUACUCCACAAGGGUUUUGUUCAAAGCAGCAGAAGUGAAUUUAGUUUAUACAAACCAGGGAUUCAUCUUGAUUUCUUGGUUGCGUCUAAAAUUUGAUAUCAGACUGCCUACGUAUCCUUAACGGAAUCAAACCGGCGUAGUUCGUAACUUUUGAGACUCAUCGCGGCUUUGUGCCAUUUGAUACUUGAUAUGGAUUCGUGCCAUUUGAAGUUUGACGGAGCCUUGUGGCAUUUGUGUCUUGUAAAUAUUUGUGAUGAACCCACUUUUACAUUGGUAUUUGACUUUGUCUUCCUUUUCAUUUAUUUUGUCUUGGAACCCAUUUUAUUUUGCCUACAAGCCCGUCACUCUAUUGUUGCCCUUUAUUUUUUUGCAUGGUAGCACAAAAAAAAUCCUUGCUUUCAUAUGGAAAAUAUAAAAGCAAGAGUCAAAGCUCCUUUAUUUUUACCAAUGCCUUUUUCAAGCUUUUAAGUCCCUUGCUUUUCUUCUUUCUUUAUUUUUCUUUUGUCAUUGCCGUAUGUCUCCCUAAGAACAACUCCACUUUUGGAGCCCUUUCUCCAUGCAAUCCACUAUUCAAUCCACCAUGUAAACAGUAAUUACCCUUAAUAAACAGUAACUACUUUUGUAUCUCAACCCUUGCACUUGAAUACCCUUGGCAAUAGGCAAUAAAAUAUUAAUUUUUAUAAUUAAUAUUAUAUUAUUUAAUUUGUACAAAUUAAUAUUAUAUUAUUAAUUUAUCUUUUCCAAUCUCUUCCCGAAACUUCUACCAUUUUUGUUUUCUUCUUCCUUCCCACUCUCUCACUCCCCUCUCCCUCAUUGUCUUCUUUUUUUUCUCCGGCCGACAGUCUACCUCCCCUCUCUCUUUUUCUCCCCCAUUUCUCCCUGUUUUCUUCCUCAAACGAGGAAGCUGCGAAUUUUGAGAGAGAGCAGCACCGAACCCACCCGCCUCCCGCCAUGUCUAAAUCCACUGAUGUGUCUUUCUUCCUCCUCAUGGUCCUCUGCGGCCAGGCCCAAAGAGGCCGCCUGCUUCUUUCCGACUUCAACCAAUCAACGUCAUCCGAUCUGAUCUCCGAUAGAGUCCACCACCACCACCGGUCCCACACCCUGGCUCCCUACCUCACUCUCGAGAACGCCCUUUCGGCGGAAGACUCCACCUGCAAGCAGACCUACGUUUUCCUGCCUUGCACCACCACUGUGAUCGACAACCUUUCCUAAUUCCUGACAGAAAAAAAUUAAAAAAAAGGACUGACGCCAGCCUGACGUCAGCCCCUACUCGGGCUGGCAAUUCCUCAUAGACCCUUUGCUCGGGCCUUGGCUGCUGCUUGGGCUUGCUCACGCUGGAGCUGGUCGACAGGGCCUUGGGCUCUUUCUUCUCCCCCCGUCCCUCGAGCAGGAGCUUCCGCUAAAGCUGCUCUAAUGGUUCGAAGAUGAUGGAAUCCAAUUUGAAAUGGCACAAGUUAAAUUUCCAUAAAGAACUCCCAUAACUUUAUUGACCCCUACGUGAGCAACUUUCCAUGUGAGGUGCUGAUUUCAGUUAGCAUUCUUCUUUGAUCUUUUCAAACCCAUUUAAACAUGGGACUUCGAACCUAUCUGACCUAAACUUCUGACCAAUCUGAGAGCAAGCCUUACUCUUUUCUUUGUUUGACUUCAAAGGUCUCCAAAUUCCAAUAAGACUUUAUCCCAUACUUUAAAUGGGGGAACCAUGACUUUCUUUUGUCUUCCACGACUUUCUUUUGUCCUCCACGUGAGUGGUUUUCUUGCUAUGAAGUAAAAGAAGACCACAUCAACAUUUUUUUAACUUUACUUUUGAUUUGACAAAAGCUUUUUGGUCUGGAACUCUUCUUCUCUCCUUAUGAGUUUUAAACAUUUUUUUUUCUUUGUCUUCAACCUUGAAUUUAGCUUUGCCCAACAUUUGACAAUAACUUACUUCAUCUUUGAGGUGCCACGUAUUUAGCCUUUUUUAAAAAAAACAAGCACUUUCUUUUGAGUUUUCUGUUUCCUGCAUGGAUUUGUCUUCACAGGGGUAAAACUAGUCUUCGACUAAAAUCACGAAUCAUCUUUUGCUUGUUGGAGAUUUUUUCUUCAAUUCCUAAUUUAAACAGGAAUUUGAAUGAAACUUGGUCAGUGGCAACUAGCGCCUAUUCUUCUUUGGCUGGGCUUUCUUUGGGUUUCUGUCUCAAUGAAGAACGCCAAAAGUUUUUGAAGAAGACCAUGGCCCGUCGACCGACAGAAGCUUCGGGACCAUAGCUGGGCAUGUUGGGUUCUUGUUCUCCACUUGUUCAAAUGUGCAGAGUGACGGCUUAUUCUCCGUUGCAUCUCUGAAAAGAGGAAGGGAGAUGUCGAAAACUUCUUUAGACACCCAAGAGGCUACAGGAGGUUGUGGGAAGACGAUUUGCUGCUGUGUUUUGAUGAAAUCUCCGUUGGACAUCACAAGUUGCAGGGUGUCGAUGAUGUUGAAGACAUGGCGCAGCUGCUGUCUCUGUUUGGGCUUCCGUCUAACGUCGGCGGUUUAUUGCAAUGUUGCCUUCAUUAGCUAUUUCACACCGCUGCCAUCUUCUUGCUCAAACCUUCGUCAAAUUUGUUGAUGGUCUGGACUGGCGUGCCCAACUACGUCACCUGGUUUCAUCACCUUCGGAUCACGAACUGCACUGCCCUUGGGCUUCUUCCGGAGGACUGACAGAGACGACGGUUGAAAAAUGGUGGUGUUGCCGUAGUGCAGUGAUCACCUAGACCUGGUUGGAACUUCACGGGGUGGUUUAGACCACCCCGAAGAAAUUCAUGGGACUGGGGAUGGGAGAGAAACAAAUUGUUUUUUUUUCUUCUUGCAAAGCCGAGAGAAAGCAUACAAAGAAAGAUUUAGAAGGAUAGAUUUAUACCUUUAAAUGCUUUGUAGCAUUUCCUGCUCUUUGUUCUUGCGGGUAGCACUUGAUAUCUUCUUCUUUUUUCUUCUUUUGUUUCUCUUUUGCCUUUGCUCUCUUGCUUUGCCUCUCAUUCUCUGUUGUCUUCAUUGCGCUUUUCUGUCUCUCAAUUUUUGCAGAGUACCCUUGUCUUUUUUUUUUUUUUUUCUCUUGCUGUAGUUGAUGCCUAUUUAUAGGCAUCCCAAGUAAAGGAUGAUACAUUCCUGAUCUCUUGGGAUUGUUUCCUGUUUCAUCAUGAUUUCCAGAUUUCCCUGUUUUAUUAAAACAUUCCCCUUAUGUAUUCUUUGUAGAUUAAUUAUACUUGUAAAUCAAGUCAUUGUACACUAUUUAAAUCAAUGAUAAUGCACCCUCUAGGGCAUCGAGGGAUUGAGCCAAAAUACCUUCUUUUGAGUUAUCUUUUAUGGUACUCAGAGCCAGUGACUAACGUCUUUUUUUUCUUUUCGGAUUCUUCCUACUCUUCUCCAUGGCUGCCUCAACCAGUUCGACUACUCCUUCCUCCGACAUCUUCCCUUCUGUUUCUCAUGCGAUCUCCAUCAAACUUGACUCUUCCAAUUAUCCUCUUUGGUUGGCUCAGUUGCUACCUGUUCUUCGCAGUCGUCAAUUGUUGGCUUUUGUUGAUGGUACUUCCAUCUGCCCCUCGGCGUUCUUGUCCGACGAUACCGGCAACGCCUCUUCCAAACCCAACCUCGCGUAUGCUGACUGGGUUCAGAAGGACCAGCUUGUUCUUUCUUGGAUCAAUGGCUCUCUUGGUCACCAGGCCCUCGCCGCCACUGCUCGUCAUUCCACUGCCCGUGAUGUUUGGGUUGCUCUUCAGCAGCGUUUUGCUUCUACAAACCAAAGUCGCAUUCUUCAGCUUCGUACUGCUUUCUUCCAGACCAAACGAGGUGAUUCUUCAAUUUCUGACUUUCUUGAUAAGAUCAAUGGUAUUGCCGAUCAAUUGGCCCUUGCCGGGGCACCUGUUUCUGCUGAUGACAUGGUGCCGGUCGUCAUGUCUAAUGUCGGCCCCAAAUUUGAGAACACUGUUGCUGCUGCUCAGGCCCGUGACAACCCCAUCUCCCUUUCUGAUCUUGAGGCUCUUCUUCUCGUUGCUGAACUCCGCCUUGCUGAUCCUCCUGCUCCGCCGGACUCCAGCGUCUCGGCCCUGGUAGCCUCCCGCGGCUCUUCUGCCUUUCAUGGCCGCUCCUCUUCUGAUCGCGGCGGCGAUCGUGGCUCUGGCCGUUUCUCACGUGGGGGUGGUCGUCCUCAACAUGAUGGGUCUCGCAACAAUGGUGGUGACGGCUAUCGUGGCUAUCGCGGUGCUGGUGGUUUCCAUGAUCGUCCGUUUCGCGAUCGUGGUGGUGGUCGUCCUCAGCACGAUGGCUCUCGCUUCCGUGGCUCCAACAAUGCUUCUGGGGUUCUUGGUCCAGCCCCAUAUCACGGUUCCUCCCGUCCUCGCUGCCAUAUUUGCAAUACUUUUGGUCAUGGUGCUCUUGACUGUGCUCAACGUCUUAAUUUGGCUUAUGAAGGUCGUCCUCCUUCUUCCCGUCUCACUGCCUUGACUGCUCAGCACUCCCAGCCUUGGCUCAUUGAUUCCGGGGCAAACUCGCAUAUCACCAAUGAUCUCAAUACUUUGUCUCAGUCCCGUGAUUAUCGUGGUGGUGAUUCCGUCGGUGGUGUCGUUGGCGGUACAGGUUUGCCCAUUAACCGUAUUGGCUCCUCCACUCUCUCUCAUAAUAAUAUUUCUUUCAAGCUUAAUGAUGUUCUUCAUUGUCCGGAUGCUUCUACUUCUGUGUUGUCUGCUAAUCGGUUUAUGUUGGAUAAUAAUUGUUAUAUUACAUUGUUUCCUUCUUGUUUCUAUAUUCAGGAUAUGGAGACGGGGACGAUUCUUUUUUCGGGCAAGAGUAGCAAUGGCUUUUAUCCCUUUUCCUCUUCAUCACCGACUGCUCAUGGUCGUGCUGCUUUUCUUGGUGUUCGUGUUGGUAGUGAUGUCUGGCACUCUCGUUUAGGCCAUCCAUCUUCUUCCAUUUUAAAAUUUCUUUUUUCUAGGCAUUCGAAUAAGUUGCCUGUUUCUGGCAACCUCAAUCUCAAUACUUUUAUGUGUCAUUCUUGUCCUUUAGGCAAAAGUGUUAAGUUACCUUUUUCUGCAUCAUUGUUUGUUACUCAAGCUCCUCUUGAGCUUAUUCACUCCGACGUGUGGAGUGCGUCCAAUAAAUCUGUUAGUGGUUUCCAAUAUUAUGUUCUUUUUGUUGAUAAUUUCUCUCGUUAUUCUUGGAUUUAUCCCAUGAAAUUGAAAUCUGAAGUCUUUAAUAUUUUUACUCACUUUAAGACCUUGGUUGAAAAUCAAUUCUCCACUAAAAUUAAGAUGUUUCAGUCCGAUGGUGGGGGCGAAUACACUAGUCACCAAUUCAAGAAUUUUUUUCUUCACCAUGGUAUUCAUCAUCGUCUCUCAUGCCCUCACCAUCCCGAACAAAAUGGUUUGGCGGAACGCAAACAUCGUCACAUUGUCGACACUGGACUUACUUUAAUGGCCCAUGCGUCGAUGCCUCCUGCCUAUUGGGCUAAGGCCAUGCACACAGCAGUUUAUCUUCUCAAUCGCCUCCCCUCUAAAGUACUUGGUUUUAUGUCUCCUUAUCAAAAGUUGUUUCUUAAGGAACCUGAUUAUAGUUUUUUAAAGACCUUUGGGUGUGCAUGUUUUCCCCACCUACGACCCUAUAAUAAUAAUAAACUCCAGUUUCGUUCUACUAAAUGUGUUUUUCUUGGUUACUCUCUCAAUCAUCAAGGUUCUCGGUGCUUAGACAUCUCUACUAACCGCAUCUUUUUAUCACGCCAUAUUGUGUUUGAUGAAGGUAAUUUUCCUUUCAAGGCCAUCUCUGGCUCUCUUGCCCCAUCCUCCCCGGCCUCGUCUCCUCCUCCUGUUUUAGAAAUCACUGGGCCUCUUCCGCAUGCCCCCCGACCGUCUAGCAGCCAACCGGUGGUUGUGUCCCCCUCUUUGGAGACUCAUCAAUCCAGUCCAUCAUCCGACCCACCACAGCCGGCCCUACAGGUUUACUCCCGUGACCCUCACAGGCGGGUUCUUUCUUUUGCACAAGCAGCAACCCCAUCUGUCACUCCCAGGCCCACGCCUGCUGUUGCCUCUGCAGUUCAACCUGAUGCGCCUCCCGAGGCUCCAUCUGCUGCUGUACCACCUGCCGUGCCCUCUACUUCCCAUGGUAUGCUCACUAGGUCCAAAACGGCUUCUCUUAAGCCUCAUAAAUAUGUUUUUUCUGCUGCCAUUUCUUCUUCUACCGGUCCUAUUGAGCCUACUUGUUUUAGUCAGGCCAACACUUUUCCCGAAUGGCGUACUGCGAUGGCCGAUGAAUUUAAUGCACUUCAACGUGCUGGUACUUGGACUCUUGUUCCUCGUACCGCUUCUAUGAAUAUUUUGCCAAACAAAUGGGUGUUUCGUAUUAAACAGAAUUAUGAUGGGUCUAUUCAGCGGUAUAAGGCUCGUUUGGUAGCCAAUGGUUUUCAUCAGCAACCCGGCCUUGAUUAUGGUGAAACUUUUAGUCCUGUUGUCAAUCACUCUACUAUUCGCUUAAUUUUGGCUCUUUCAGUUCAGUUUCAAUGGCCUGUUCGUCAGUUGGAUGUUCAGAAUGCUUUUCUUCAUGGCUCUUUGUCUGAGGAGGUCUAUAUGCACCAACCUCGUGGCUUUGUUGAUCCACAGUUCCCUCAUCAUGUGUGCCGCCUUCGUCGUUCUUUAUAUGGGCUCAAGCAGGCGCCCCGUGCAUGGUUCCAAUGUUUUUCCACUCAUUUGGAAGAUUUGGGUUUUCGUCCCUCUACUGCGGAUCACUCGCUUUUUACCUAUAUUCAUGGCUCUACUCGCAUUUAUCUCUUAAUUUAUGUUGAUGAUAUUUUGGUCACCGGGAAUAAUCCCUCAUAUUGUCACCCUCAUUAAGAAUUUGGGCAUCCGUUUCUCUAUGAAGGACCUUGGACCGGUUCAUUAUUUCUUAGGCAUGGAGGUGGUCCGCACUCCAUCAGGUCUCUCUCUUUCCUAACAAAAGUAUGCCACUGACCUACUUCACCGCACCAAAAUGCAUGGUGCUAAGCCGGUUCCUACUCCUGCCGUUAGUGGGCGACGGCUCAGUCUUCAGGAUGGUGACCCUCUGCCGGAUCCUAUUGAAUACCGAAGUGUUGUCGGCGCCCUUCAAUACUUGACUCUCACUCGUCCCGACAUCAACUUCGCCGUCAACCAAGUCUGCCAAUUUCUUCACCAGCCGACUUCUACUCAUUGGGCCGCCGUCAAACGCAUUCUUCGUUACCUUGUCGGCACUACUUCUCACGGUCUUACCUACAAGCCUGGUUCCUUUCGUCUUACAGCAUUUUCCGAUGCCGAUUAUGCCGGGAUCCUGAUGAUCGGCGUUCCACCGGGGGCUAUUGCUUGUAUCUGGGUUCCAAUCUUGUCUCAUGGAGUGCCAAGAAACAAAAUGGGGUCUCUCGGUCCAGCACUGAAGCCGAGUAUCGUCAACUUGCAAUCACCGCUGCCACUCUUUCAUGGUUUCGUAUGCUGUUCCGUGACCUCCAGUUUCCUCUACAUUGUCCUACACUGUUUUGUGACAAUAUCAGUGCUAUAUCCCUUGCUUCCAACCCGGUGUUUCAUGCCCGCACUCGGCAUGUUGAGGUGGAUUACCAUUAUGUUCGUGAAAAGGUUGUUCGCAAGGAGAUUGAUGUUCGUUAUCUUUCUACUCAUGAUCAGAUUGCUGACUUCUUCACCAAGGGCCUUUCUCUUCCUCGUUUUCGACUUCUGGUUUCCAAGCUUCCUGUACUUGAUUGUACUGUCAGCUUGCGGGGGCGUAAAGGAUGAUACAUUCCUGAUCUCUUGGGAUUGUUUCCUGUUUCAUCAUGAUUUCCAGAUUUCCCUGUUUUAUUAAAACAUUCCCUUUAUGUAUUCUUUGUAGAUUAAUUAUACUUGUAAAUCAAGUCAUUGUACACUAUUUAAAUCAAUGAUAAUGCACCCUCUAGGGCAUCGAGGGAUUGAGCCAAAAUACCUUCUUUUGAGUUAUCUUUUCCCAAGAAGGCUCUAGAAUUUGUUACGUGGGGGAAGAUGGAGACCAUGACCUCCUGCCACUUUCUGUUAACCCCCUUUUCUGACUCCACGUUUCUUUUUGUUGCAGAAAAUGGGGGAGCACCUGUUUUUUGCACGUUACUUCCCCCCUUAUGUAGGAAAAAAAUUAUAAAUUUUUUAUUUAUUCCUGAAUGUAUUUGUAUGUAAAGCUCAUCCUCAUCUUUUGGGUUGGAUUACAUUUUUGUUUUACCUUGAAGUUUGACUCAAUUUGAAUGGACUUUAUUUUUUCAUAUUUUUUUUGUUCAACAAGCGUAGUUUUCUUUUUCUUUUUCUCUGUGAAAUAUAUAGUAUGAAGAGGGUGGAAAUGGGUCGGGGCUUACAUUUCCUUCACUUUCUGCCAAAAGAUUGUUCCGAACCACACUGAUAGAGCGAAAAUAAACGCGAAACGUGCUAGAUUGUACUUUGGACUUCUCCAGUGGGACAAGUGUUGUUUCCACAGACAUGCCUUAAACUGCACCCAGCUAUUUUGAGCAAAAGGAGUGGGAAGGUUCAAGCCCCUUGAACCCGGCUUUGGUUCGCUCAACCGGCUAACCAACUCGACCGUGUCUCUCUGAAAAAGAAGGAAACAAACAUAUAAAUUUGAUGAUUGAAAUAAAUACAUGAUUAAUCCUAAAAUAAUGGAAAUAUUAGAGAUAUGCCCUUACCUAUACUGAGUAGAGGGUUUAUAAAUUUCAGCAAAAUCUAAACAAAGUUUUGCCUCUACUGAGGCAGAAGUAACUUCUAACAUCCAAGUUGCUGGAUUGUAAUUUUCUUUGAUCUUUGGUACAUCACGAAUAUCCUCAAAAUAUUUGACGAGUUUACUCGAGUGAUGACCGAGAACUCCAGAAUAGAUGAUUUGGCCUCCCCUUUUCAUCAAAAGUAACUGCAAAAAUCAAUGUCUUCCGUUAGUGAUCGAGUGGCUUUUAUGAUUUGGUUUAGUUUUCUUGGACUCCAUGACAAUGCUCGUUAUACUACCUCGUCAAAUGACUGAAAAAUAUCAAUGCUUGGCUUGUGGAUUGUGCAAACAGUUGUCCUUCCUGUGGAAACAACAUUCUUUACUACGCAAAUGGCAAUUGCAGCUGCUCUGGCGUCUAAGCCUGACGUAGGUUCAUCCAUAAAUAUUAUUGAUGGGUUGGAUACAAGCUCCACUGCAAUUGUUAGCCUUUUGCGCUGUUCAGUAGAUAGGCCAGUUUGUCCAGGAAUGCCAACUAAGGAAUCUCUUAUAUCCUCCAGUUCAAUCGUUUGAAUGACUUCCUCCACAAAUUUCUGCAUAGAUUAAGCAAAGGAUACUUUCUUUUAUAUGUUCCAGGAAAUUUGCAUAUUAUUGAUAAAUUGAAAGAAUAUCAUCCUACAGCUUUUAUGUCUGGAUCAGUUUCGUGUGGCAACCUCAACCAAGCUGAGAACAUAAGCGAUUCUUCUACCGUGAUCUGUGGAGAAUGUAUAUCAGUCUGCUCGCAGUAUCCUGAUAUUCUUGCAAAUGUCUUCUGGACCUUGGGGUACCCUCCGAUUCUUAUAUCUCCCACGAUACUACCUCCUGUUUCCCUUCCAGAAAGAACAUCCAUGAGAGUUGUUUUUCCAGCCCCAUGCGGUAGGAAUUCCUGGACUGAAUGCUCCUGUUAUAUCUUUAAGCAACUGAAGCUUUUUCUCCUUGAAAGCAUGCUGUCUCAUUUCCUUUUUUAAGAAGGAAUGAAGUUAAAAUACAACUAAAUAGUUUUCCAAUGAUACUAAUAUGUGAAAAUUGACUAAUGAUUUGAUUAAUUACCGGAGGUGUAUCAACAUAAUACUGCACGUCCUUAAAUGAGAUUGUCAGUGGCUCGAACGGCAGGACCAUUCUCCCUGUUUAACAAAUUGAUUUACUCUCGAAUAAUUCAGUUGUUAAAAAAAUUCCUUGCUCGUUGCUUUGAAUGGAAAAUGUGAAACUGAUAACCCGGAUAAACUGGAUGCAACAAUUCAUCUCACCUAGUGUUAUCUUUUCUCCCAUGGUUUUGAAUAAAUCGGAUAGAGUUGAUUCAUUUUCCAACGGUGCACCAGUUUGGGUUAAUAUUUAACAUUGGGCUUAUAGGAGAGAAAGCCCAAAAGAGUUCAAUAAGAAGAGUUUCGUCCGAAGCCCAGCACCAAGCCCAGACCGUCCAUCUCAAGACCAAUUGGCACUCUCCUAUUAAUGCAAAGGCUAAGUGCUUACAAGAGAAGUGACAACUGAUGAAAAUCAACCUACUCUCAGCCCAAAAGUACUUUUCAGUGGCAAUACAAGUAAAAUAUUGAUGAGUCACUACCAUUCAAUUGCUUUUGGGUAAGAACAAAGCUACAAGCGGUCGGACUAAUUCGUUUAUAAAAGGAGGAAGAGGGCUCAGAGACAAGGACACUCAAUCAAUCAAACAUACAACUUGUCUCUCAUCCAAGCAAAUACCCAGAAAGCUGUGCUUUGUCCAGACUCUGCACCCUUUUAGCCUUAGAUUUCCUUAGAAAGACAUCUUUUUUCUAUGUAAAAGCUCUGCUACAUUUUUCUAAAUGUUGUAGUAUCGAUCCCUCGUGUAUAAACUCGUUUCCAGUCAUCUCCUUUAGUACUCAAUUCUUUUGUAAACUGCAAAGAGAAGAGAUCGCAAGGCGUUUAACCUUGCUUGACAAAGUGAAAUCUUGCCCAACUCUCUUUGUUUUUAUCUUUCAAUUAACAAAUAUGGUGUUAUAAUGUAUUCCGUAGUUUAUAUUCAAGUUAUUUCCAGUCCUUUGAUGACCCAAAGCCCCAUCAGUUCUCAGAUCUGGUUCACUUAGUGGUUUUAUCAAGAAUUGAAAUGAAUUAAACUGAUGACUUGAUCAGAUCUAAGCCUUCACCCCUCAAGCAUACAAAAUAACUAAAAGUCUUUGAUCUCAAGGCAUAGAAAAUAACUUAAUGUAGACUUAAUCCAUCUACAACAAUCCUUUGAUAAACAAGAAGUCAGAAAUAACUUGGGGUGCAAGUAAUCGGCUUAAAACACACUUGUUCUACAUCUGCCAUACAGAGAUGGCAGUGGCACGCCUAAGCACCUAGUUAGUUUUGAAUGCGAGCCUCAAGGCCUAUACCUAAGGCCCCACAAAGGCACCUUUCAGAACUAACUUUGUUUUCCUCUUGCAGUAUUGUGACAAGCAGGAGCCCAACAAUCAACCAAAGUGCCAACUCCUCGGGCAGCUGUGUGCUCGAGCCAGGAACGCCCACCAACCAGAUUUCCUGCCCAAAAAGCACCAGUUUUGCGAGCUCCCCUUCUUCAAAGUUGAGAUAAUCUUUUUUUCGAAACAAUAGCCCGAUACACCUUUGGAGCUGUAUGAGGAAAAGCUUAAGUAAACUGAUGUGGAGCUGUAUGAGGAAAAGCUUAAGUAAACUGAUGAAGUGGAUUGUAAUACUUAAGUUAUCAUCUGUCAAUUAAAAUGAAUCUAAGUAAGUUAAUGCUAAAAUAAAUCCAAGAUCAGACAGCAUUGUGAACCCGAGUAAUGCUCCUACUGAUAUCCAAUAGAAAUAGCCAUCAAAGUUCAAACCAUGCCUGGUUAGAACUUUAUUCCCUAGGGUUGUGUUUCCCUCUGAGACCUAAAGAAAUGAAUUAACACUGUCAAAACACUUAUUCGACUUCGAUGAUCGGGUACUAAAAAAGUUUAUCAUCUUGAGUUGUACCUUUUGCCAGCGAGGAGCGAGGAACUCGUUUAGAGUUGUACCGAUUUCCCCAUAAGUCAUAGGUGAACACCAGAAUAGUCAACGCAACCAAGGAGGUAAAGAGGCUGCAAAACACCCCUUAUUAGUCUAGUUGUAGUUGAAUGUAACUAAAGGAAAAAUACGAUAAAUGGACUUACAUCGUGGCAAGAUGAAGCCUCCGGAUAAAAACAUUAGCACUAGGAUUAAAAUACCGCAAGUUGAUGCAACAACCAUAGUUUGGAAAACUACAGCAAUUAAACGACAUAUGGAUGUCGAUGCUUGAUGGAGAGCAAAUAGCACAAGGAACUGGAAGAAGAACCUAAAAACCAUAGCAUAUUCUUGAGGCAUUAUUAUGAUUAUUGUUCAAGCCUUUCAUGUUCUGUCGUGUGACUAUAAAGUUGAGAUCUUACGUUUUUAUGUCUGGAGCGUACCCAAUCAAAUGGUAAGUUAUUGCUGUCCACAGCAGUGAAUCAAUCACUGAAAAUGGAACCUUCAGGAUAGACUGGAAGAGAAUACGCCCAUGCUGGAUACAGAUUGAAUCCUCUUUGCUUGUAAACCACUGGUAAUCUAGUAACAGUCACAGCUCUGCAAUUCCGUUGGUCAUAAGUCGAAUAAGUGUAUAAAACAAUGAGUUCAUAAAAAAACUUGCAUUUAUCAAAUCCACGGUCCUACGGGUGCUUAUACAGAUUGCCAUUGUAAUAAAUGCAGUGAUGACAAGCUGUGGGAAAAAAAGAGAGAAAAUAUAGUAAGUGAUUUUGAGUUUAACUUCAGAAGUACAACCCCUAAAAGUGAUAUCAUUAGGCAGUAAACCUGAGCUGUUUUGAAUACGUAGAGAAAGGAAUUCCGUUUCAUGAGAAGAAGCUCUCGGGCCAUACAACCUUUGAACAACUCCCAUUUGCUCACAGAGUAAGUACUAAAUGAUAAGGCAUUAUCAUGGCACUGUGAUUUAUUGUAUGGUUUUGAGAGCUCAUCGUCUAAUUUCUUCCCCGAGUAACUUGCUCUGAAAAGUUCAAAAAAUUUGUUUGCAGAAACAUGACCGUAGGGAAUGUUAUCAUGCUUCCAGUAUUGUGCUUGAUCCUUCUUUGAGAUCACCUCUUGAAGGAAAUCUGCAGCACCCUUUCUUGGUGGGCACUUGAAACCAGAGUCUUCGAAAAACUCAACUGCGUGGCUGCGAUGACCGUGGUAAACUAUCUUCCCCUCUGCCAUUAGUAUUACAUCAUAAAAAAUAUCAAUGGUCUCGGGUGCUGGUUGGAGAAGUGAUACCAAUGCAGUUGUAUCUGUGAUAUGCACCAGCUGCUGAAGAUAGGUAACUAUCUGAAAGGUUGUAGAACUGUCUAAUCCCGUUGAUAUCUCAUCCAUAAAAAGAGCUUUUGUAGGACCUACAAUCAUUUCUCCUGAAGAUUAAACAGAAGAGGAAUGUUAUGUUUGAAACAUUUUUCUACAUGGGAAUUAGUAAUUACAUUCAAAUUUCCCUCGGAUUCAAGAUUUCACUACCGGUUGUCAGCCUUUUCUUCUGGCCACCAGAAAUGCCUCUUCUUAAUGCAUCACCAACCAUUGUGUCACUCACUACACAUACCCAGUCCAAGUAUCUAAAGAGAUUCCAAAAUAUCGUAAUUCAUUUUUCCUGUCCGAGUGAGUUAGAAAUGUCACGUUUGAACUACUUAAUGUCAGCAUUGUCCAUGUCCAACACUGGUUGGAGAAAAAUUUACCUUCAAAACAUAAUCGGUUUGGAGAUUUUCCCUUUGUCCUUCAACUGAAAUGGCCUGUGAGUAUUAUGUAAAUCUCUAAAACCUCUAACACAAAAGGGUGGUAAGAUUUACUAAAAGGAAUGUUAUGAGACUUUACAAUUACCUUCAUGUAGGUGUCAAUAUCUGGAUCGGGGACUAUUCCUGCUUCUUUUUCCCUUCUGCUGAGCUCCAUUAUUAUAUAUGCAUAAAAUACGAUCGAAAUUAAACUUCAUACGUCAAUAGAAGUACACGACUAACCCAAUAGUAAAUGCAAUAGGGGAUAAGGAAUAUGCACCAGCUCUACUGCCAACACCCUGGCAGCGGGAGGAAAAGUCAAUUGUUUCCCUCAGUCAUCUCAGGCAGGUGAAGGUCAUGCUGGCUAAUGUAAGCUGAUGUUUUUUGGGGAACAAACUCAUCUAGCUUGUAACCAUUAUAAGUGUUGUAAACUGAAAUAGAAAGGAACGAAGUUACCUAAAAAAAUGUAGAAGCCUUGAGUGGUGAAUGAUUAUUGGGAUGAGUUGCGGACUAAGUCGCUUUCUUUAAGACGUUUCGCGGCUCUACCCAAAGUGUGCAAGCAGUUCACAAACACCACAUCGUCCUAGGAUAAAACAGCCCAAAACCUUCUUCUUCUUCUUCUGAUAAAGUUCUUCCUUGUACAGUAGAAGAACCUUCGAAUUCACAUUCUCUCAAUAUGUUGCUAACCAAAACUAUAUAUUAGAAAAUAUAUCUUCUUUUUUUUCCGCAUACUUUCAAUGAUCCAGGGACUACUAUAUAUACAUUUAGACGAAAGAGAUGUUGAGGGUUUGAGAAAAUUGAAAGCAGGACAAAAUCAAAACGUAAGUCAAAUAAAACGGUUUGAUUAUGUAUCAUGACAUGAUCUUCUUCUCUAUACAAAGAAGGAAUGGCACGUUUCAAACUUAAAAGGAGAUAACUCCUUACCUAAUUGAAAAGUCAAAAUCAAUUGGCAGUUAUGCAUAGAAUAUUGGUAAUAAAACAAAACGUUAUGUAUAUAAUAUUGGUAAUAAAAUAAAACAUAAAUAUAUUUAAAUAUUUAAAUAAAAACAUAUUUACUCAACAAUCCCCCACUUGUUUUUGUUUAAAACUAUACAUCAAGCAAUAUAUCGUAAAGCUAUACAGAAGUAAAUGUGUUUCUCAACUUAAAUCUAUACAUAGUGUUAGUGAUCGAGAUUAUACUAGAGUAACUUAUAGUUUUGAACUCUAUCCCUAACAACACCACACACACAACUUUAUUAAGGUGAAGUUCAAAAAGCCAGCACAUUACAACCAUGUGCUUGUAUCCCAGUAUAGUGAACGCUCUAGAAACUUGCUCAAGAUUUCAUAGGAAGCGGCAUCACUUCCACAUUCACAUAGUUAAGACUAUCAAGGUAUUCCUGUAGCUAGAUAUCUCACUUAACAUAGAGUAUAGACCUUACUAAGAGAAAAAAAAAUCUCAACCUAAAUACGCUUCAGGAUGUCAUGCUUCUUAGGGAUGGACAUGGAAUAAUAUUCCAAACUAAAAUUAGCAAGACUUCACUCUUAUCACUUGUGACUUGUUAUUACCCUUUGAACCUAUUUCUUGGGAUCUCUAGUCUAUAGGUUGGGUUGCUAUCACAAAUAACUCAAUUCUCUAGGGCUUUAGUCCCAUCCCUUUCGAGGUUUUCCAAACCUUUUCUCGUGCUAGUCCUUUUGUCAAAGGAUCAACCAAGUUUUCUUCAUACCGUAUAUGAUCCACUCUCACAGCUCCAUUAGACAGGUAAUCUCUUACAGUGAUGUGCUUACGACGUAUUUGUCGCCCUUUCCCAUUAUAAUAAUGAUUUUGCACUUUAGCUAUUGCCGAUGUGCUAUCACAAUGGAUCAAAACUGCUGGAAUCGGUUUCUCCCAUAAAGAGGUAUCUGACAGUAGGUUUCUCAACCAUCCUGCUUCUUCGCUUGUCGUAGCUAGCGCUAUUAAUUCUGACUCCAUAGUGGACUGAGCCAUGAUAGUAUGUUUCUUAGACUUCCAUGAUACAACCCCACCACCAAGACUAAAAAUACAUCCACUAGUGGCUUUAGAGUCAUCUGAAAGGGUAUUCCAAUCAGCGGCACUGCAACCUUCUAGGACAGCGGGAAACUUCUCAUAGUGUAAUCUAAAAUUCAUUGUCCUUUUAAGGUAUCUCAUAAGCCUAUCUAUGGCAUGCCAAUGCUCCAAACUAGGUCUACUAGUAAACCUGCAUCAAACUCCUACGACAUAAGAUAUAUCAGGCCUAGUGCAAUCAGUAGCAUAACGAAUGCUACCAAUAAUACUCGCAUACUCAGAUUGUUUAACACUGUCACCAAUGUUCUUGAACAAUUUUACACUAGGAUCAUGAGGAGUACAUGCUGGUUUACAAUCAAAAUAAUUAUACUUUCUUAAAAUUGUUUCUAUGUAGUGAGAUUGAUCUAAAGAAAACCCAUGUUCAAACCUAGUUAUUUUCAAACCAAGUAUUACGCUAACUUCACCCAAGUCUUUCAUAUCAAAAUUAGCAGAUAACAAAGAUUUGACAUUAUUCACAACAUGAAUAUUCGAACCAAAAAUAAGCAAAUCAUCCACAUAUAGGCAUAUAUUACUUUCAGACUUAUAAUAGAUGCAUUUGUCACUUUCAUUUAUUUUAAAACCAUUUGAAGUAACCAAACUAUCAAAUUUUGCAUGCCAUUGUGUGGGAGCCUGUUUCAAUCCAUAAAGUGACUUAUUUAACUUGCAAACUUUAUUUUCUUUUCUUGGAAUAAUAAAACCUGUGGUUGACCCAUAUAUAUUUCUUCCUCUAAUUUACCAUUUAAGAAAGCUGUUUAACAUCCAUUUGGUGCACAACAAGAUCAUGAAUAUAAGUUAAGGCAAACAAUACACGAAUAGAUGUUAUUCUAGUCACAGGUGAACAAAUAUAAAAGAAAUCAAUCUUUUCUCUUUGUCUAUAGCCUUUGGCAAUAAGUCGGGCUUUAAAAUUUUCAACUGAUCCAUCAGGUUUUAAAUUUUUUUUAAGAAUCUAUUUGCAACCUAUUGUUUUGCAACCAGGUGGAAGAUCCACCAAGUGCCAAGUUUGAUUUGACUCCAGGGAGUCCAUUUCAUCAUUUAUAACUUCUUGCCAAAAAAUUGCAUCUAAAGAAGUUAAAGCUUCUUGAAUUGUAUUAGGAUCUUCUUGUAAGUUAUAUACAUGGAAAUCAGGGCCAAAAUCUUUAGCUAUUCGAGCUCUUUUACUUUUCCUAGGUUCUAAUGCAGAUUGACUAUGUUUUACAACAUUAGGUUCAUAAAUUUUAGAAGAAUUAGAACCCCCACUAUUUUGAAGAUUAAAAGGAAAUUUAUUCUCAUAAAAAUCAGCAUCAAGUGACUCAAUUAUGACAUGGUUUUUCAAAUCAUAACAUCUAUAUGCUUUGCUAUUACAUGCAUAACCAAUAAAAACACAUUCAUAUGCUCUACUAGCCAAUUUCGAUCUUUUUGGACCAAGUUUACGAACAUAAGCUAAACAACCCCAAGUUUUGAAAUACAAUACAUUUGUUUUCUUAUUUUUCCAAAUUUCAUAAGGAGAGAUAUUCGAUUCUGAGGUAGGAAUUCUAUUUAAUACAUAACAUAUAGUCAACACAAUUUCACCCCACCAAUAAGAAGCAGCUCCAGAACUAAGUAGCAACACUCAAUUCGCAAAGAGUUCGAUUUUUUCUUUCCGCUUUACCAUUCAUUUCAGGAGAAUAAGGAGCAGUAGUUUCAUGAAUAAUUCCAUUAGACUUAAACAAAUUAACAAAUUCAAUGGAUUCAUAUUCUUGUCAUCUAUCACUACGAAAUCUUUUAAUCUUAUGAUUAAACUGAUUUUCAACUUCAGUAAAGAAAGUUUUGAACAUGUCAAUAGCUUUACUUUUAUUUUUCAUAAGAUAGACAAAACAGUAAUUCAAACAAUCAUCAAUAAAGGUAAUAAAAUAACGUUUUCCAUUUCUAGUUAACACUCUAUCAAAUUCGCAUAUAUCAGAAUGAAUUAAGUCAAGUGGUUCAGAUUCUCUAUUGACAGAUUUAUGUGAAGUUCUAGUGAUUUUAGCUUGACUACAAUAUUCACAUUUUUCAAAAUCAGUCAACGAUAAGUUAGGUAAAAAGCCUAAGUUACUCAUGUUCUUAACCAAGAGUUUGUUAACAUGACAAAGUCUAGCAUGCCAAGUAUUAAAAGAAGACAACAUGUAAUCAGAAGUAGACAUUUUAUCAACAUUCAAUUUAAACAUUCCAUUAGUAGCAUAUCCCUUUCCCACAAAAACCCCAUUUCUAGUAAGAGUAUACGUAUUUGCUCCAAACGUUUGAGUGAAUCCAGCCUUGUUGAGAAGUAAGCCUGAGACCAAAUUCUUCCUUAUUGUUGGAGCAUGCAUCACAUCUUUCAGUAUCAUGGGUUUUCCAGAGGUGAACUUUAACUCCACCUCUCCAGUACCAGCAACAUCAGUUGAGUGCGAAUCACCCAACAACACAUUUCUUCCCUCAGCCAUAGAAUAGGUCUUGAAAAGAGAACGAUCGUAGCAAGCAUGGGGAGAAGUGCCAGUGUCCACCCACCACCCACCACCCCUCGGACUAAGUUGAUUUCUGAUAUCAUUGCAAUUAGUUGCUCUUCAACAAGAUUUGUUUGAGAAGCAAAGUUUUCCUUAUAAUGCAUGGCAGAUUGAAUUCAUCUUAAAAUUGUUGUAAACUGAAAUAGAAAGGAACGAAAUUACUCAAAAAAAAUGUAGAAGCCUUGAGUGGUGAAUGAUUCUUGGGAUGAGUCAGGGACUAAGUCACUUUCUUUAAAACAUUUUGCGGCUUUGCCCAAAGUGUGCAAGCAGUUCACAAACACCACGUCGUCCCCAGGAUAUAACAUCCCAAAACCUUCUUCUUCUGAUGAAGUUCUUCCUUGCACAGUGGAAGAACCUUCGAACUCACACUCUCUCUCAAUAUGUUGCUAACCAAAACUAUAUAUCAGAAAAUAUAUCUAUUUUUGUUCCGCAUACUUUCACUACUAAAUAUACAUUUAGACGAAAAAGACGUUGAGAGUUUGAGAAAAUUGAAAGCAGGAAUAAAACGGUCUUAGGUCCGAUUCUCGCCGAAGGCGAAUUUGAACCACUAAACCGUAGCACUAAGUGGCUCCUAACAAUGUCUCUUAACAAGUUUAGAGGUAUUUGUCUUCACUAAUAAAUGAAAAGCGUUUGAAUUUCAUGAAUGACAAGUGCAAUACAAAAUUCAAAUUAUCAUGGUUCUUCCAUUAUAUGAUUUAACCAAAGCAUACCAUCUCUUAGUGUAAAUAUAUCAUUGAACUAUCAUUGAAGUAGUUCCAACAUUCGUAUACCAUCUUAAUUAUCAAUUUACUAUUACAAAAUUUCUAUUAAUUUUUCUUUACAAACUAAAGUGUUAUUAGGCUAAGUUGUUAAAUAUUAGGAGAUGAGUAGGGAUCGACCCACCGCCAAAGUACAUAUAUAGGUAUUACUGUUUUCUGCUACUAUGAUAAAGUGUAAUAUACUUCUAUAUAUUAAAAGAAAAUUCACUGAUACAUUUCCACAUGUAAACAUUCAACAUUGGACAUAUAUAAUAUUUUUCCCUACUUCUUUGGAAAUUUAAUUUUCCAAUGCAAUAGGCAAAUAGGGAAACAAAGACAAUCCCAACUGGGAAAGCAAUGAGAACAAGAGCCACAAGGCCUAAACAAUCAUGGUGGAAACCAUAAUAAUCUUGUAGGAUUAUUUUCUAUUUAAAAAACGUAUGUGAACAUACACAUUAUUUUCUAUUAUAAUAUGUGUAAGUUUAUGAAGGGAAAUAUUCACUAAAAUGAUCAAAAAUCAAAUUCUGAUGCCAAAACAAAAUCAAAUAUUGUCAUACUGAAAAACUAAUCAUUUCAACAAAUGAGAUUCAAAUAUUUGAUUAUUUUGGCCAAUUUUCCUGUAUUGAUACCCUAACCUAAAGUAUAAAUUACUUGCACAUCCAAAUUAUAACACAUGAAUUAACAACACUCCGUCAAUUAGACUUGUGUUACAUGUAUUUACACGGUUAUUGUCAUUCCAAGUGCUCAAAUGCUAAUGGAGUUACACAAAACCAUCAAAUAUUAGAAAAGAUUGGAUUCAAGAUAUACUAAGUAUAAUGUACAGAAUGUUGCAUAUAAAGUACCAGAAAACUUUAGUAGGUGACCAAGAGAACCCUAUUGCAGGAUAUGCAACGGCUACAUACAAAACUUGUAACAUUGUAUAAUGUAUUUUAAUGGCAACAUGCAACAUUUAACACUUUACACUAUAUUUGGAUGAGGAAGUUUAAGAUUGCUAAGGAAAUUUAAAGUAACGGAAAUUGAAAUGAUGGAAUUUUAUUUUAUAGAAUAUGUGAAUUUUCUUGUUUGGUUGAGGAAAAUAAACUUGGAAUUUAGAUAAAAGUCAGAAUUUGUAAAUUGACAUGCACCAGUUUCCUUGUUUGGAUUCAUAAACAUAUAUAGGAAUUUAGAAUUUUCGGGUGAAAAAAAAACUUGGAAUUUGGGACCUCCAAUUCCCAAGUUUAAAUUCCAUGUAAAUAUGUAUCAUUUCCCAAUUUCUAUGAUUGAGUGCUUAAAAAUAACAAAUUCCGUAAUCAAUUCCAUUUAUUUUUAGGUUAACCAAACAAGAGAAUUCACAAAUUCUAGAAAAUAAAAUCCUGUCAAUUCAAUUUCCGUCAUUUUAAAAUUCCUUAGUAAUCUUAAAUUUCUUCAUCCAAACAUAGUGUUAAGAACAAUGGAAUUUGAAAUGAAAUUUGUUAUUUUAAACCCUCAUUCAUGAAAAUUCAGAAAUGACACCAAUUUACAUAGAAUUUAAAAUGGGAAUUAGAUGUCCCAAAUUCCAAGUUUUUUUCUCAUGCAGAAAUUCUAAAUUUCUAUGUUUAUGAAUCCAAACAAGAGAAUUGGUACAUGUUAAUUUUUAAAUUCCAGCUUUUAUCAAAAUUCCAAGUUUAUUUCCCUCAUCCAAACAUAGUGUUAGUUUAAAACUGUGAAGAUUUUGAUUUAUCGAUUACAAACUAAAUAAGUACUUGAAUUCUUAGGCACUUCAACGUAUGAACUUGUGCAAAUGAACAAGGUCGGCCCUGAGAUUUUGAAGGCCCGAGCUAAGCUACCAAAUAGGAGCCCUUUAAUUCUUAGGCACUCCAAUUGGUUGUAGGUUCAUAUACAUUUUAUUUUUAUAGUAAAUACUCAUUAAUUUAUUAUUAUAUCGUACUCUUAUUUAAUUAAUAAUCAACAAUAUGCUAAAGUUUUAAGAAGGUGUUUGGACCCAAAAUUACAUCAUCGGCCCGUGCAAUCAAGGCCGUUGAGUAGGCAUAGCUCUCAAUCGUCGGAUAAAAAAGCAGAGAUAAUUUUGUUAUUAAAGGAUAAUAUUAUGGUUUUUAUCAUAAUUAUCUUUUAAUGAUUUAUCUCGACAUCUUCUUAUGAAAGAGGGAAAAUAUAUCUCCAAGCUGGAAACACGCAGCACAAUUCAAAGCGAUUUGGAUGUUUGGCGUGUGGAUGUGGUUUGGAUCGGUUUUAGUUGACAAAUAUGCAUGCAUGUGAUAAGGGUGAAGUAAAAAUGGUGAUAUGCUUUGAAAAUGAGUCUACAUGUGUUGGUGAUAAGAUGGCAGCAACUGCCUUGCUGACAAUUAACAUUGGGUAUUUUAUGCUAAAUCAUGCAUAUUGGUAUAUGCUUUUGUAUUGUGGGCCAGCAUAUGUUUUUUUUUUAUGGAGCCAAAUUCAUUUAACAAUGGAUAUUUGGAACAAUAAGAAGUUUAAGUAGGCAUAGGCCUUUGAGAGUUUGAGUUUCAGUUGGUUUCUACGAAAUCAUCAAGGCCACGCCAAGCGGGAUCAUGCAUAUUUGAAAGAGAAUAUUCCUAUUAUUUUGCAACUUACGACGGCAAUCUUACGGUUAUAGAGGCAAUGACAACAUAAAGGUGGUAUUUCGAAUUCAACACACAAACUGCCAUGCACAAACUCUUGCUCUACGCGAAACCUCUUAACAACCUUGAGAUUUUUAUUUUCCUUUUUCGCCAACACAUCUUCAGUUUGGAUAAAUAGCACUAUGAAGGCAACCGGUGAACAUCUUCACUUUGGAUAAACAAUACUAUAACCGUAGAACCAUUCGACCAUGAAGCACCUUUAGUUUGGAUAAACAACAUUGCUCCGAGACCGAUUGAUUACCUAUCCAAGUCUCGGUCAAGAAGAAUUUUCAAGUCCUUACUAGUAGAGAUCAUCUCAUCAGCCUUCUCGACGAAGUGAGGUGUUACCAGGUUACUACAUUCGGCACCCUGAGAGCCCAAUUUGAUAUUGAACUUCGUAGAACUAAUAGCCUUGUCUUCAGGUUCUAGAACCUGAAGGUCGAGACGUGUUCAUUUCUCGACCGCAGUCGUGAGAUUCAGAAGUCAAUAGUGCGCCCAAUGCAACAUCAACUCAUUUUACUUACCGGUCAAGCUCGACCGUCGAGUUGGCAUGCCCCACACACAACCGAAGGACAUAGUUAGCUUUUUAAUUACUCGGCUUGUGCGCCACGUAUACUUGAUAGUUUUUAAGAUCAACAGAAGGUAAAGAGCAAUAAAAACUGAUUAACGAAUUUAACAAAUUUAAUAGCGCCAAUUGAUCCUCUUGUAUUCUUCUUGAAAUCAAUUUCACAAUAACGAAUAUUAGAAUCAUGAGAUGAUUGAUAAUAAAUUAUUGAAACAGAGAAGAUAUAGCAAAUAAGAUAAGGUAGCUGGCAUUUGAUAGCGAUUUUGCUUGUAAAACUACACUUUUUGUCCAUCCAGAAGAAACCCAUUCUUCUGUUACAUGGCUUAACCGUGACCACACAAAACAGGAGAGCACGGGAAGGGCACCAGAAGUGGAGGGCAAACAAUCCUUGUCCGUGCUUUGUCCAUCGAGAAUAAGAAAUUGUAGGGACUAGGGGCCCAUUGCUCUUUUGAGAUGCAAGUUAAGGGACCUAACAAAGGGAAGUAAAAAGCAUUGGUAGGACAAAACAAGCCGUUUUAGGAAAACAACUUGGGGGAAGAUUCUCUCAUUUCCUAAUCUCUCUCCCAUUUUCUCUCCUUCUAUUUGAACGGUUACGGUUUAGCUACGUCAAUAUCUUAUAUAUAUAUUUUUAGAGACGAUAAGACAAAAAAUAAUAUGUGGGAGAAGGGAAAAGAAGGGGAUGAGAAUAGGAGGGGAGAUAAUUCUCUUCCAAACAACUUGCCUAUACAAUUCGGAUUCUAAGACGGUGGUAUCCCAAACGAAUCUCAUCCGACUAUGUGUUUAAACAUUGCACAUGACACCACGUGAUUGUUAAAACAUUGUCACCGUAGUGUAUUGUACAUAUACAUGAUUGUUUUGAAGUAACAUCAUCAUUGUGACAUAUUCAUGACGUAUGCUUAUCUCGCCGACUAGAGUUUCAGAUUCCUAACCAGGCGGGCAUAAACGUGCUUACAGCCUAAAAGGCCUUAACCUCAUAGAUCUGAAAACACAUUUCUGUCGGAGAAAUUGUCAAGAAUAAGAUACGAACUAGAGUUUACUCCGGGCAAGAUACCUGAGAUUUUUAGCCGUUAAAGUCAUUGAAUUCUUGACCAAUGAUCUAACAGCUAAGUUCACAUUGUAUAACCGAGGCACACUACAGAACGUAGAAAAAAAUAAUGGGGAUUAAAACGCUUCAUUGGGUAGAGGGAUAAGUGACAAAACAAUGAGAAAAAACACAUCAAUUGUAUUAGAAAUGCAACUUGCCAAUGUGCACAACAACAAAUGAACAUAGUUGCUACUCCACCGCAAAACCACCUCUGUGUCUGUCAAAUCUUAUUAAUCUCUGCGAGCAGAGGUAGCAAAACAACCUUGAAAAAAAACCCCCCACAACUUUCCAUAUGUUUUUUUUGACACCCCCGUUAACCCCUCAUAAUCAUAAACUACUAAUGACACAUUCUUCAAAGAACACGAAAAUAUAAAAAUACUAAUAAAAGAAAACCCAAAUGGCGCAAUGCCUGUAUAGAGAGAGAGAGAGAGAGCGAGAGCAGCAGAGGCUUAAUUCAAUUCAAUGUUUUGAUUCGAAGGGGUGAAGACUGAAGAGCCGCCAUUAAAGCUUUAAGCUUGGGGCUUGUCCCACUUGAGUGGCUUGACAACCUCCCAGGUGAAGUCGGGGUCAUCCCUCCCGAAGUGUCCGUAGGCGGCGGUCUUCAAAAACCUUCCAUUGCCACCCCUCUUGAGGUCCAGGUUGAUGGAGAUCAUGCCUGGCCUGAAAUCGAAUGUCUCCUUCACAAUCUUGAGGAUCUCCUUGUCAGGGAUCUUUCCGGUGCCAUAAGAAUCAACAAACACUGACAAAGGCUCGGGCACACCGAUGGCAUAGGAAACCUGCACAAUGCACCUCC